UUCCGGCUCCUGGCUUCCGCCGGGCCCUGGCCCCGCCCCUUACUUCCGGGUCCCAGGUGGCAUCCGGGCUUCCCGCUGGCCCGCAGGUGGACGCGGGUGCCAGGGCAGGCCGGGCUGGGUCUGCUCAGCCUCUCGGUCCCCAGGGAGGCACUUGAAUGCAGAGAAGGGGCUUCGUGCUCUGGGCUCAGCGCCAAGGCGAGCGCACGUGAGGGGAACGUGAGGCGGCCGCCGCCGAGGCCCCGUUUCCCAGGGGCAGCGAGUGGGGCCUGGUGUCAGCCUGCCUGGGAUCCCGUUGCCCGUCUGUCCCUCGCUGUGUAUCUGACCGCUGGGAGUCCGGCUUCGGGAGCAGGGUGUGGGGGAAGCCAGCGCGGUGACCUCCCCGGGAGGGGAUCCCAGUGAGGGGAGGCUUGUCGCCUCUGGAAGCCGCUGCGGCUUCCUCUUCCUGGUUCCUUUCCGUUGUUUAUUUAUAUUUUAAAUAUUCAUUUAUGGAUUCGAGGGGCAGCGUUAGAGGGGUCUGCAGUGGUUCACUCAGCUGGUUCAGGCCCUAAAUGGCCGCAGCUGCUGGAGCUGGGCCGAUCCGGAGCCAGGAGCCUCCGCCGGGUCUCCCACGCAGGUGCAGGGGCCCAAGGACUUGGGCCAUCCUCCACUGCUAUCCCAGGCCAUAGCGAAGAGCUGGAUCAGAAGAGGAGCAGCUGGGACUAGAACCAGCGCCCAGAGGGGUGCUGGUGCCACGGGGCGGGGAUUAACCUACUGCACUGCACUGCCAGCCUCCUCAUUUUUUUUUUUAAAGAAAUUUAUCUAAUUGAGCUGGCACAGUGGUGUAGUGGGAACACCCACUGCCGCCGUCCCAUAUGGGCACCAGUUCUAGUCCCAGCUGCUCCACUUCCUGUCCAGCUUCCUGCUAAUGAGCCUGGGAAAGCAGUGGAAGAGGGCCUGGGUGCUUGGGCGUCUGCGCCUCUGCCUCUCUGUAACUUUGCCUUUCAAAUAAGUAAAAUAAUUUUUUUUUUAAAGAGCCCAUCCACCCGCGCUCACUGCCCUGUUUUACACUUGGGGAAACAGAGGUUGGGUGUGGCCCUGGGUGCCCAGGGUGGAGAACAAAGCUGUUUCAGGCAGGCUUCUCCCCAGUGUCACAGCUCCAGCUCCGCGAGCCUUGCUCUGUCCAUCUGCACAAUGGGCACAGGGCGCUUUGGCUACAAGCGGAUGGGGGAGGGUGAUUCAGGCAGAGAGUCGCAGGCACGACACGCGAUGCAUGCGACGUGAGAGCGGCUCGGGCAGCAGGCUGGGCUAGGAGGGCUGAGUCCUUAGAGACAGGAGGCAGGGCCCAGAGCCUGUCGCUGCAGCCUGGUGCUGGGAGGCGUGGAGGGCUGAUGAGGAGGAAGAAUUGGCCACACCUGGAAACACUAAAACCUGCACCAUCUGAGUGGUGUGGCCCAUUGGGCGGGGCCGCAGGGCACGUCCCUGGCUGGCUGGCUUGGGGAAGGGGCUGGACAGUGGGAGUUGGGGGCUGGGGAGCAGGGUGACUGGUGGGGCAGGGACCGGACAGGUCGCUGUGGACGAGGUGAGCGUGAGAUGCCAGGGUCUCCCAGGCGGAACUGGACUCCAGGUGGCCACCUCAUCUGGAGCUCGGCGAGAAGACAGUGCUGGCGCCCUCUGUGUGCAGGUGAGAACUGAGGCUGGUAACGGGGUGUGGGCUUAGGGCCAGGCCUGGGAGAGGGGCUUGCAGCAGAGCAGCAGGAGCCAGAGAGGUGAGGAGAAAGCCUGGAGGGCUCGGGGUGAGCAACCCCACUGCUCCUCCGAGGCAUCAUGGGUCUAACAGGCGUCCACACAGAGGUCAGACAAAUCAGCCCUUAAGGGUGUUCAGGUGGCUUGCAAUACCCACGGUGGCCAGAAGGCGGCAGCACCACACCGAGAGACAUUUCCUGUAGCUGCAUUUCAUAACACUUUGCACAGGGGCUGUGUGCUGGACUCUGGGGUGAGCACUGGAGAUUUUACAUUCGUACCCAAAUUGUGUAUGUAUAUAUAUUCUCACGGAGCCUACGUUUUAGCCAAAGAGGCAGUUAAUUAUUAAUUAAUCUCGCAACUGGCAGUGAAGUCUCCAGACUCCAAAACUUGAUUGCUUUGGUUUAGAGAGGAGUCUUUCUGGAGUGUGUGACCCAUGCCCCGUCCUCCCUGAACAAGAGCUGAGCUCGCAUGGCAAUGUGAGGAGCAGGCUGGAACUUGCGUCGCCCCUGUCAGGAAGUGCAGGGGUGGGAGGUGGUCCCUGAAGAACCUCCAAGACCUCCCCCGUGAUAGAAGGAGUCAGCCUGGAACCCUGGAGGGGUCAGAGAAGUCACAAGGCGGGUCCAUCAAGGGGGAGGUGGCAGCGGGCCGGGUGGGGACACGGAGGGCUGCGCUGGCCUGGCAACUCCCUGAGGAAGGGAGGUGUCCCCAGCUUCCUCUCUGUCUUCUCCCCAGGCCCCAGCACCCUGCGCUUACUCCUGUUGCCCCUGACUCAUCUAGGGUGUAGACAGGGAAGCACUGCUGUGCUCGGGUGCCCUGGGGACACCACUCCCAGGCACCAUCCCUUGAUAAGGGUGACAUAACCCCCAGCCAGCUGCUUACGGUGCUCCCCGCCUGCAGAGGUUCUUGUCUUGGUGGUGUCCUGUCCAGGACCCUUUAGCAGCUCUUGUCACUCUCGCAUGAGAGCCAGUGCUGGGGCUGCAGGCCAAGCUCUCCCCGUGAAGAGCCCCCCUUCAGACUUGAGGGGAGAGGAGGAACAACUUUUCCCUUCUGGGAUGCACGGUUAGCAGUUAAGAUGCCCACAUUUCCUGUCACAGGGCCUGGGUUUGGGUCCCAGCGCGGGCUCCUCACUCCAGCUUCCUGCUAGUGCAGUCCCUGGGAGGUGGUGGUGAGGACUCAACUACUGGGGUCCCUGCCACUUAGAUGGGAGACCUGGAUUGAGUUCCAGACCCUCGGCUUUGUCUGCUCCCAGCCCCGGCUUAAGUGGGUGUUCAGGGAGCAAACUAGCAGAUGGGAACACACAUUCUGUGUGUGUGUGUGUGUGUGUCUGUCUGUGUCUGUCCGUCCGUCCGUCCGUCCGUGUCCGUCCCUCUCUCCCUCCUGCCCCCCCCCCCCCCAAAAAAAAAAAAAGAGAGCGGUCUUUGCAGAUUCCCUCCGCGGCCUGUGCUUCCUCCAUUUGCAGGUGCGUGGCAGAGAUGGGCUGAAGGACUGGCUCCGGGUUGGCUGCUGGUGUGUCUGGAGUCUGCGCUUCCCUCCAGAGCUGGGGCACUUGACUGGGAGGCAGUCUCCUUGCCUCUGGGGCUCUGGCCCGUUCUUUGAGGUUCUUUGAGACGGGAGAGCCUCUUGGAAAAUCUCGUCCUGAAGAAUGAUUUUGCACUUGUGAGAAUCCAGCAUGCCCUUCAGGGCACCAAGCUUGUUUUAAGCUAAAUAAUGCAAUGAAUAGCGGCUGCAGGGGAUCAACAGGCCCUCAGAGCCGUGCGCAUUUCCUUAGCGGGCUUAGCAGGACCUCCUGCCAAGUUACUGCUGGCAGAAAUGCCCUUUCUGGGAGAUUCACAGCCAGAAAAGAGGCCAGGUAACCUAAGACUCCGUGACCUCCAUUUGUUCUAUGGAAGUUCUCUUCCUUCCUCCUUACCAAGUGGGUUUACAAACCUCUGUUUUUGUUUCUGGGGAAGUUUCCUCAUCUGAAAUCUCCCUCACAUUAAUAAGUGUCGCCUUCUUGUCUGUUAAUCUCUCUGUCAGCAGUUAAUUUGAAUCUGCCCUGAACCUGCGUGGGUAGAGGAAAGACUUUUCCUCCCAACGCUUCUUCCCUUUGCCACCCACGAUUUUGAGUCUGGUACUGCACUUGAUCUUCCUGCCCUGCCAGCGAUACUGCAUGGCCAAGUUUCUUUCACUCUUUCCUUCCUUCUGGCUCAUGCAUCAACUAGAUCAGAAGAGACGGAAAACAGAGACCCUGUCGGAGACUUCGCAGAGUUCUUAGUGCAGGGUGGCAGAAUAACGAGGUUACUUAAAAAGUUCGUGGGAAAUGGAGUUACAAGGAAGCUUAUUUUGCUGCAGAAGGUUUUGCAACCCGUGCGUGGUUUUUCACAAUGGACGUUUUGAAGACGCUUCAUGUGCCGCCCCGAGACGUGCCACUUUGGCACAAGGUCUGUGUUGAGCUGAAAGCAACGAAGAAGCAGCAGAUGCCAGAAAGGCCGUCUGCUCUGCUCUGCUGUUUGCCUGAGAGCAGGACAUAACUUGCUGAAGGUGCCCCUCCUCCCCUCUCCCCAGGAAAGACCAAGACCGAAGACUGCUUUAGACCCCUGUCAGCCUGGGAGGGCACCAGCUGAACCCGUGACUGACUCCCUCACCAGCCUCGUCUGUCGCAUCUUCCCCACACAGGUGCCUUCCCAUGUGUUGCCCCUGGAGGCUUGAGGUCCUUUUUCUGUUUUUGUCUUGUCACCUCUCUGGAUGUGGGAACUCAAUUCCAGUGUCCUGCAUGGGUGGCCGAGAUCCAGUCACUUGAUCCUACACCUGUUGCCGCCUGUGCACUUUAGCAAGAAGCUGGAAUCAGAAGCAGAGCAGAACUCAGGCACUUCAGUGUGGGAUAUGGUCAUUUUAUUUUUACAGAGAUUUAUUUUAUUUAUUUGAGAGGUAGUUACAGACAGAGGGAGAGACAGAGAAAGGUGUUCCAUUUCCUGGUUCACUCUCCAAAUGGCUGCAGUGGCAGAGCUGGGCAGGUCCGGAGUUAGGAGCCAGGAGCUUCUUCCGGGUCUCUCACGUGGGUACAGGGGCCCAAGGACUUGGGCCAUCUUCCACUGCUUUCCUGGGCCAUUAGCAGGGAACUGGAUUGGAAAUGGAGCAGCCAGGACAUGAACCGGUGCCCAUAUGGGAUGCCGACGCUGAAGGUGGAGGCUUAUCCCCAGGAUGUGGUCAUUUUAGUUUAUGUCUUUAUCACUAGGCCAGAUGCCUGUGCCUAAGCCACCUCUUUGAGUUACUCUUCACUUGAAUUUUCUCAUAUAUGUGAAUGCUGCAGAAUUUAGAAUGGUGGAGAGAAAAUGAUUUUUCCUUCCCUACAUUACUUUUAUUUUUUUAAAUAUUUAUUUAUUUGAAAGGCAGAAAAAGCGAGAGGCAGAGGCAGAGGCAGAGAGAGAGGUCUUCCAUCUGCUGGUUCACUCCCCAAAUGGCAACAAUGGCUGGAGCUGGGCCAAUCCGAAGCCAGGAGCUGGGAGCUUCUUCCAGGUCUCCCAUGUGGGUACAGGGGCCCAAGGACUGGGGCCAUCUUCUGCUUUCCCAGGCCAAAGCAGGGGACUGGAUUGGAAGUGGAGCAUCUGGGACCCGAACUGGUGCCCACUGCACCUAUGUAGGAGACCCGGAAGAAGCUCUUAGCUCCUAAUUGGGGAGUGAACCAGAGGAUGGAAGACCUACCCCUCUCUCUCUCUCUCUCUCUCUCUCUCUCUGUGUGUCUCCUUCUUUCUCUGUGUAACUCUUUCAAAUAAAUAAAUCUUUAAAAACAAAACAAAACAAAAAAACAAAGUUAAUGGCCAGGAUGGUGGCAGAUGAAUUUGGCUUGUUUGCAUUCUGUCUGGUGUAAUUAUAUUUGAGUGCAAUGUGACACAACAGGUGGCUGAUUAUGAAGUGACUGGAAAAAAAUAAAUCACUAGCCUGCCUGGGCUGCCGUAGGCAGAUACCAUGGAUGGGUGGCUUAGACACCAGGCAUUUCCUUCUCCCAGUUCUGGGGGCUGCAAGCCUCAGACCAGUGUGCCUGCUCAUUCAGGCCGGGGAAUCCACUGGCUCACGUGACCUCAGGAGGAGGGGUUGUUAACCCUUCUAAAGACUACCUGGAGAGGUGAGGUCACCCUUCCCCCUGUCUGCCAGCAGCUUUAAGCUGUGAGUGGGUGUCUGCUGUCCGAGCGUGAGAGAGCGCUCAAGUGCUGCUGACACUGGGGAAACCCAGCUUCCAGGCCUCUUCCCAGCACGGAACUCACACGUUCCCGCUGACCGCCGGCCUCUGCAGCUUUCACGUGGGCAUAACCACCGAAGGGCCUGUCCUCGGUUUACAGGGGAGCCACUGUUCAGAUGCUCACUACUCACGGUGGACGGUGGCUGUGACAUCGCAUGGUGCGCUUCCAGCAGUAACUCAAACAGACACAUUUCCCUGCCCGCGUGGAGCUUACAUUCCUGUGGGGGAGAGAGGCAGCAUGAGGCCUAGGGUUGUGCUCACAGUUUCCACUCACUGCUGGUAGCUUUUUUUUUGGGGGGGGGGGGUGCCAGAAGUUUUUUAAGAUUCCUCGUGACUCCUGGUGUUCUGCAACUUGACCGUGAAGUGUGUACUUGUGUCUGUUUCCCACCCGGCCUGUUCAGCACUGGACAGGGUGUGUGGGGGCAGUUUCCCACGUGCACAGCGUGUCUUCAGUCACCUCCAGGAAUGAACUGAGCCCUGCACUUGUAAUCUGAGCGGGCCACUGCCAACCAGCAGACAUUUCUGCAAAAUUGACAGCGACAGUUGACAAGGACCAAGGUAAACAAAAAGAAAAAAAAAUUCCCAGCUGGGAUUGAGGGAACCGAAAGCUUUAAACUGCUGAUGGGUCUCGCUCUAAAUCAGUGACCACUGAAACCUCAAGUGGCCCUGAGUGCUGCCCAGCAGUCACCCUCCUCGUCUCCUCCCCGCUCCCCUAGACAAUGGUUUCCGGUCCUGCUGCCCUUCUCAGGCCUCCAGCGAAGCCUCGUCCGUGAAGACUGCCUUCACUCCUUACUCCCGCGAGAAGCAGCAGGAUCUGAAGGACCCUUCCAUGAGUGUGCACCCGCAGAUCACCCAGGCUGACCCAGCGCCCACACUCUCUGUGGUCCUCACUGUCACGAUGGAGUAACUAUGUCCCCUCUUCCUUGAGGCUGGCUCCUGGCUCCUGGAUCCUCCUCAAGGAAGCGACCAGGUCGCUCUGCUGAGUCCUGCUUCCCUGCCCGCUGCGGCACCAUUUCCAUCAGCAUGUAGACACAAUACCGUUUUUCACAUCUUAAAAAACAGCAACCCAGUGGAGGAUGGCCCAAGUCCUUGGGCCCUGCACCUGCAUGGGAGACCAGGAGAAGCACCUGGCUCCUGGCUUCGGAUCAGCGCAGAGUGCCUGCUGGUCGCAUUGCGCCGGCCGUAGUGGCCAUUGUGGGGUGAACCAAUGGAAAAGGAAGACCUUUCUCUCUCUCUCUCUCUCUCUCACUGUCCACUCUGCCUGUCAAAAAACAAGACAAAACAAAACAAAGCAAAAAAACAAAAAACAAACAAACAAAAAACAAUCAGCAACCCCACUCCAGCUACUGCCUUUGUGUCUUCAGCCUACGAAGAGGCUUCAAAACCUUCAGGGAAAAUGUGUGUCAUGAAAAAACUGUGCAAGGAUUUCACAAUGUUUUUACACCAAAAGAAACUCAUCUUUUAAUUCCAUUUGAAAUUGAAGUUCGCUUGUAUUUAUCUAUCCUUGUUGCCUCCAAUUUCUGAUCCCCCCUUCUCUGUUUAUCAGUGUUUUGCUCCCACAGUUCUGCAAAAGCAAAUCGUGUCAAGAUCCACAGUGAGCUCCUGAUAAAGCCCAGAGUUACUGCUCAGGCUUAAGUUCAUCUGGACACAGGAAUCACUCUGCUUGGCUUGAGACUGUCCUCACUUGGCUUCUAGCUCCGCCUGCUCCCUUGGCUCCCUGUCUGCCCACUGCUGCCUCUCCGAUGUUUACCCUCCCAGUAGUGGACUCUCCAUUUAGCAGUUCUUGGGCCUCUUCUCCUUAUCUUUGUGAGUUUUCUUUUUAAAGGUCAUCUGUUCGUGGUGUCUUUGACCCUAACUCUUCUCCUCUUACCUCAGGAUGCAUGUGUUUGAUUGCCUGUUGAAUAUCCUCUUCUCUCUCUCUCUCUCUCUCUCUCUCUCUUUUUUAAAAUAUUUAUUUAUUUAUCUGAAAGGCAGAGAGGCAGAGAGAGAGCGAGAGAGAGAGGUCUUGCAUCAGCUGGUUCACUCCCCAAAUGGCCACAAUGGCCGGAGCUAGGCCAAUCCAAAGCCAGGUGCCAGGAGCUUCUUUCGGGUCUCCUAUGCAAGUGCAGGGGCCCAAGGACUCAGGCUGUCUUCUACUGCUUUCCCAGGUCACAGUAGAGAGCUGGAUUGGAAGUGGAGCAGUUGAGCCGGCGCCGCGGCUCACUAGGCUAAUCCUCCACCUUGCGGCGCCGGCACACCGGGUUCUAGUCCCGGUCGGGGCGCCGGAUUCUGUCCCAGUUGCCCCUCUUCCAGGCCAGCUCUCUGCUGUGGCCCGGGAGUGCAGUGGAGGAUGGCCCAAGUCCUUGGGCCCUGCACCCCAUGGGAGACCAGGAUAAGUACCUGGCUCCUGCCAUCGGAUCAGCGCGAUGCGCUGGCCGCGGCGGCCAUUGGAGGGUGAACCAACGGCAAGAGGAAAGACCUUUCUCUCUGUCUCUCUCUCUCACUGUCCACUCUCUGCCUGUCAAAAAAAAAAAAGUGGAGCAGUUGGGACUUGAACUGGCACCCACAUGAGAUGCCUGCAUUGCAGGCAAUGGCUUUACCCACUACAGCACAGUGCCAGCCCCUGGAUAUCCCUUUUCAUACUCAUUGAUGAGCACAGGAAUCAUAUCUGUUCUUCACAUGAUGCAUCCCAUGCACUGUAUGUUGUAUAGUAUGUCUGUUAGAUAUUCAGUACUUGAGGUCGAAUAGUCACUUCACCUUGUUCAAGCUCUAAUCAUUUCACACCUGGCCCUCUGGAACAGCCCCUGCCUGCAGGAGGCAGCCUGUCCUGGCUUGCCUGAUAGUCUCCUGGUCUCUUUAUUUAUUAUUUUUGUUUGAAAAGAAGAGUUAGAGAGAGAGAGAGGAGAGAGCUCUUCCAUCUGCUGGUUCAUUCCCCAAAUGGCCACAAUGGCCUGGGCUGGACAAGGUUGAAGCGAGGAACCUGGGACUUCCUCCGGGUCUCCUAUGUGGGCAGCUGGGGCCCAAGCACUUGGGCCAACUUCCCUGCUUUCGCAGAUGCAUUAGCAGGGAGCUGGAUCGGAAGUGGAGCAGCUAGAUUUGAGCUGCUGCUCUUACGGGAUGCUGGCGUCACGGGCAGUGCCGUAACCUGCUGUGCCCCAAUGCUGGCCUCUGCUCUCCUGCUUUUCACACUAGAAGUCCAGUCUCAAGGAAAUUUCUCAGCCCUGGGAAACCAAGAGACUUGGUCUCUUCAGAUGAUUCCUUAUGUCUGUUCUCAGUGGAUCCAGGGUUACCCUUUUAGAAAGCAAAUUUUUAUUCACUGCUUCUCUGCUCAAAACCCUUCAGUGGCUUCCCACCACCCUAAUCAGAAAGAAAGCCUUCACUUUUAGGGGUCUACCAACUACAGGGUGUGCAGGCUUGCAGGCAAACAUUGUGUUACAGUUUGGAUAUUAGUUCAGGUGUCCCCCAAAAGCCAUGUUAAAAGCUUGGUUGCCCCCAGACUUGUGCUUGAUGGGUUAAUGUUAAUGGUGAUGAAUGAAGGUUGGAGACCUGAUCCGAUUAUGGUGUUGUUUAGGAGGUGGGUCUAGGAGGAGGUCCUUAGGCCAUUGAGGGCAUGAUCUCAGAAGGGUGUUCUUGCAAGAUCUGGGUUCACUGUAGCCUCUCUGCUUCCUGCCUCACCAUGUAACUGUUCCUCUGCACCUGAUCUGCCAUUGCCAGCCUUCAGGUGGACUGCUCAGUUGUGAGCAGGCUGAUACCGAGGUGUCUGUGGAACUUUCAACUGGCAAUGUCCAGAACUGCAGAGAGAAUCAAGCAUGUCUUUUGUUUGUUAAACAAGAACAGAUGGCCCUGGGAAACAUUGCAAGAAAGAACUCUAAGAAAUUAAAAAUAUUUGUUAAAUUGGAAAAAUUCAAUGUUGGACAGAAAGAUAAAAUUAUAGAAUUAAUUUCUGAGGACCCUAAUGAUAAUGUUGUAUAAAAUUUAGAAAUGUCUAAGUAAAUAUACAAUGUAUGUAUUGCAGCCGUAUGUCCCAAACACCCCAGAUCCUCAGUGUGCAUCUUCCUUACCGAGGACACUCCUCUGUAUAACCAGUGUAGUCCUCACAUCAGGAAAUGAGGAAUCAGCACUGGUAUAACACUAAUGUCUGAGCCAGGGAUUCCAUUCAUGGUUCACCAGCCGUCCCUGACAUGUCUUUUUCCUGCCUGGGCCAGGAUCACACUUUGCAUUUUACAAAUUUAUGCAUUUGGGAGGCAGAUAUAGAGCUCCCAUCUGCUGGUCCACUCCUCAAUGCCUGCAGUAGCCAGGGCAGGGCUGGGACCCAAGCUAGGAGCCAGGAACCCAAUCAGGUUUCCCACAUGGGUAGCAGAAACCCUGUCACUUGAGCCCUUCAUGGCUACUACUUGGUGUCUUCAAUGGCAGGAAGCUGAAGUCAAGAGCUGGAGACAGGUAUGGAACCCAGGCACUCAGAUAUGGGUUGUGGGUUUCUUAGCCAUUGUCUUAAUUGCUAGACUAAACACCCAUCCCACACUUCGCUCUUAACAGUCAAGUCUCUUUAGUUUUCUUCAGUCUGUAAGCAUUCCUCAUCUCUCCGUGUGUUUCACGACCUUAACAGUGUUAAAAUUUGCAGGCCUUUCAGUCUGUAGGACAAAGCUGAGUCUGGUUCCACUGAUGUUUCUGCAAGACAAGACUCAGACUUGCAUUCCUGGGCAGAGCGUGCGGAGGGGACGCGGUCCUUCUCUCGCUGGGUCACAUGAGCAGGCUCAUGAUACGCACCGUCCCACCACAGGGGAUAUUGGCUUUAUCACCUGCUCAGUUUGGUGCCUGCCAGGUUUCUUCACAUCAACUCACUGUUUCCUGUCUGUGAUUGAUAAGUUGAUGUUCCACAUCUCAUUAAACCUCUUUCCCUUGUCUUAGUAUCCAUUGGAAAUGUUUGCCUGAAGUGAUCAUUGUUAUAGUGGUUGCCAGAGGUGAUUUUUCUAUUUUUAUCAUUCCUACUAAAUGAUUAGUUGGCAUUCUACUAUUAUUUGAAUGAUGCUUUUUGGCACAAGAAAAUGCUCCAGCAUCAUCACAAAUUUCUCUGCCUUUGCCUUGGAAUUAACUAUUUUUUUCCCAAGGAAUCCCAGAGUGGAGAACAAUAUUUGAAGACUAAAACCUAGGUGCUUGGUUGCUUCUGGCUUCUGUUGUGUUGCUGAUUCCAGGCCUUCUCAGUGUCCAAAGGUGGGACAAACACAUGUACCUAUGUGUGUGUGUGUGUACAUGUGCGUGUAUGUGUCACCCCCACAGAACUGUAACUGUUCCUGUUUAGCUGUGUACAUAUAUAUAAUAUAUAUAUAUUUAAAAAGAUUUAUUUGAAAGGCAGAGUUACAGAGAGGCAGAGGCAGAGAGAAAGGUCUUCCAUUCACUGGUUCACUCCCCAGAUGGCUGCAACAGCUGGAGCUGGGCUUGAUCCAAAGCCAGAAGUCAAGAGCUUCUUCCAGGUCUGCCACGUGGGUGCAGGGGCCCAAACGGUUCGGUCAUCUUCUGUUGCUUUCUCAGGCCAUAGCAGAGAGCUGGGUUGGAAAUGGAACAGCUGGGACUGGAAUGGGCGCCCAUAUAGAAUGCUGGCACUGUAGGUGGCGGCUUUUACCCCUAUGCCACCACAACUGGCCACUUUUAAUCUUUUAAAUUAAUCAACUUCCUCUGCUUGCACACAGCCCUGAAAUAAGUCUGUCCUAACCACAGAGGUGCCCAUUGUUGUUGACUGUGGAGUCUCUGUGAGAGGGAUCACCUGCUUGUCUGAGGGCAGACUACAGAUCUUGGGCUGUGUCCCACCUUGGGUCUAGGUUUAUUUUGGCCAAAAUGGAGAGCACAGUUAUAAGGGUGACUGGCGGAACUGGUGCUGUGGUGUAGAGGGUACAGCUGCUACCUGCGGCACCAGCAUCCCAUAUGGGUGCCAGUUUGAGUCCCAGCUGCUCUACUUUUUUUUUUUUUUUAAAGAUUUAUUUUAUUUGUUAGAGAGAGAGAUUGAGAUUGAGAUUGAGAUUGAGAUCUUCUGUCUGCUGGUUCACUCCCCAGAUGGCCGCAAUAGUAGAGCUGAACUGAUUUGAAGCUAGGAGUCAGGAACUUCUUCCAGGUCUCCCACACAGGUUCGGGGGCCCAAGGACUUGGGCCAUCUUCUGCUUCUUUCCCAGGCCAUAGCAGAGAGCUGGAUUGGAAAUCUGAAAAUUAAGCCUUCCUCUGGUUUCAUGGGCCACUUCUUGGGAAACACUGACCCUAAAUCUCACACGGUGAUUUCUCUGAUGAAUUGACCGAGGUCUAGAGGCCACCCCAGACUUGUUCCCAUCUCUGUGGCCUGUCAAUGGCAGAUCUGGAAUUAGAAACCCGACUGGCACUAGGGUGAGACAGGCAAGAUGCCAAAGAUGCAGACUUCAGGAGGUCUUUGCCCUCAGGGUCACUGACAUGCCCUGUGCACUCCCUUGCCUCACAGAGGCCCCGCCCAGAUUAGAACUCUAGGGUCCUACUUACCAGGAGGGAGGGGGCACGUCUGGCUUGGGGAGCUCGGGUGAGGGGGACUUGCAGGGAGUUUUCUUAUGCUGGUUCUCCCGAGGUGUGGGAUUCCAUGGCCUGGGAUGGUUACUCACCUGGGAAGCAUGCAUCGCACUGUACGCACAGGGCGCUGAGGGCCUCUGCAGUCUGGGUGCAGAAUUCCUUGCCUGGGUUAUCUUUAACUGGUUGCUGAGGGUUGCAGUAGUAGAUACUUCUCUCUUAUAAGAAUAGGCUUUCCCUCCAAGCAGAUCUGUCUCGUAGGGUUCAGAUUUCUUUGUCUCUGGUCUGGUGUCUGCUUUCUUCAUGUAGAACUGCUUACUAAGAAUUAAGAAGGGAGAACUAGCUUUGUUGUUGGUUGGUUGAGGUAAGAAACAAUCUCCAAGAUGGCCAAUAUAAGACAUAGAAGGAAGAAGGGCGAGGGGGACAAGAGACAUGUCUUGAGCCACUUUGUGACUCUUCCAGUACUCUGGUAGAAAGUGCAGUCUUUUCUUAGUUGGCCUCUUGGCCCACUCUCACCCUGAUCUGGUAUAUUUUCAACAAGGCAGCUGGAGAGAUCCACUAAGUUAUACACAAGGCAAGAAAAUGAAAAUGAAUUAAAAGGCAUUGGAAAGGAAGAGGUAAAACCAUCUCUAUUUUCAGAUGACAAGAUCUCGCACAGCAAACACUAAAAACUAUUAGGAGUAACAAAUGGACUCAGCAGAGUUUCAGGAUAUGUGGCCAAUAUAUAAAAAUUUAUAGCAGCAUCAAUAUGAGUAACACAUUUAGGAAUACAGUUAACAAAGGAAGUGUAGCACCUAUAUACUGAAAACUACAAAACAUUACUGAAAGAAAUGAAAGAUGAUGAAAAGAAAUGGAAUGGCAUCCCUAUUCCUACAUCAGAAGAGUUAAUGUUCAGAUAGCAACAUGUGCUCCUUGAAUGAUUUAUAGAUUCAGUAUAGCCACAUAAGAAUCCCACUUGAUUUCUUUUAGAAUUUCCAGUUGGUUUCUUUUACAAGCUAAUUCCAAAAUUUACAUGGAAACUCAAGGAACCCAAAAUAUGCAAAAUAAUCUUGAAAAGAGGAAAAAGCUGGGUGUCUCACACUUUGCAAUUUCAGAAUAGCUAUGAAGUGGUAGGACAGUAUGGUACUGACAUAUGCAUAGAUGUAUGGACCAAUGGAAUGGAAUUGAGAGUUCAGAGAUAAACCCGUGUAUCUAUGGUUAGUUGAUUAUUUACAGGGAUGCUAAGACCAUUCAAUAGGAAAAGAAUAAUCUCUGUAGAAAAUGGCAUUGAAACAAUUGGGAAGCCACACCUAAGAGGAUGAAGUUGGAUCCUUAUCUCAGACUACGUAGAAAAGUGAAAUCAAAGUGGGCCAAAGACCUAAAUAUGAGAGCCUAAACCAUAAUCUCUUAAAAGAAAAUGUAGGUGUAAAUCUCCAUGAUCUUGGAUUUGGCAGUGGGUUCUUAGACAUGACAUCAAAAGCACAAAUUGGACUUUCAUAAAAAAGACUUUUGUGUUUUGAAGGACACUAUCAAGAAAGCAAAAAGACAACCUAUAGAAAGGGAGAAAAUAUUGGCAAAUCUAGAGUAUUUGCUGAAUGCUUACUGCUCAGUGAUAAAAAGACAACCCAGUUAAGAAGACAGUGCUGCAAAGAUACACAAACAGCCACUGAGCACACAAGAGGACACUAAACAUCAGCAAUUAGGGAAUGCACAUCAAAAGCACUGUGAGAUAAUACUUCAGAUCUACUCAGGAUGAUUAGAAUCAAAGAAAAUCAGAUAAUAAGUGUUAUCAAGGACAUGAAGGAAGUGCUUUUACCCACUGCUGGUGGGAGUGUAAAAUGGAAAACAGUCUGGCAAUUCGACAAAAAAUUAAACAGCAUUACCUUUUAACUGUCCAGCAAUUCCACGCUGAUGUAGAAACCCAAGAAAUAAAAAACGGCCACUCAAAAAUUUGCAUUUGAAUGUUCACAGCAAUAUUAUGCACAAUAACCCAGAGGUCCACCAACUGGUGAAUGGGUAAACAGGAAGUGGUAUAUUCAUGCAAUGAGAUAUUAUUUGGCCAUAAAAAGAAAUGAAGUACGUGAAUCAUGCUACAACAUGGAUAAGCCUUGAAAACACACCUGGUGAAAAAAGAGUUACAAAAUACUGCUGAAUUCAUCUACUCCCAAGGGAGUCUAAAAAGACGGCUGCUUUGGCUGCUGCUUCUUGAGGUUCAAGGUCUAGGGCCCUUGAGGUUGGAAGAGUCCCAAGAUAGCAAGACACAGUGCAUAAGUCUGUGCCUGUGUCUGCAUCUAUGUGAUUGCUCUCCUUAAAAAGCCACCAGGAUUUCAUCAUGGAUGCGCCACCCUAAAUACCGUAGUCAUCAUUAACGUGCUUGUGUGACUUUGGGGAUUAAAUUCCUACAGGACUUUUGGAGGGCAAUCCAUAUACCAGCCACAUGCUAUAAGACUCUGUUUACAGGAAAUGCCCAGAAUAGGCAAAUAUGUAGAAAUAUAGCAAGUGCAUCAGUAGUUAGACACAGCAAGGGGAGGCGGUGCUGAGAAAAUUGGGGAGUGAUAACUAAGGGGUAGGGUGUUUCUUUUUGAAGUAGUAGAAAGGUUUGAAAAAUGACUUUGGUGAUGGUUAUUCAACUUUGGAAAUUGCUGUAAAGCAUAAAUUGUGCAAUUUAUGUGAGUGAGUUAGAUGACAUAUAAAUUACAUCUCAUUAAAUUCUGGUUCUAUUUUCUAUCUGUCUACCUCUCUGUCUAAUCUCAUCCAUUUAUCUAAACCGUUCCAUGUCCUGCACUGCUGAGCACCCUUCAGGAGCUCCCAUUUUACUCAGAAGAGUGCACUUCCAAGUCCUUAUGAUGACCUCCGAGGCUCACCAGCACCCGUGGCUAAACCUGCAGCUGUCAUCUGGUCUCCUACUGCUGUGUGCCUAUUUGCUGUCCCUCUGGACUGCUUUUCUCCCCCGUGACAGCAUGGUUCCUUCCUUUCCUUUCCCUUUCUCUCUCUCUCUCCCGUCUCUGCCUCCUACCUAGGUUUAAUACCCAGUUUCUGACUUCAGAUUCCUACUAAUUUUACAAACCCUGGGAGAUAGCAGGUGAUGGCUCAAGAGGUUAAGUCCCUGCCACCCAUGUGGGAGACCUGGAUUAUAUUCAUGCAUCCCAGCUUUGGCUUGCCUCAGCCCUGGUCCUGGCAGGCAUUUGUAAUGUGAACCAGUGAACAGGAGCACUUGGUCUCUCUGCUUCUCAAAUAUGUGGGGAGCAACUCGGACUAGACUAAGUUACUGGAACUAAGACUUAUUCUAUGCAUCUGCUCUCCCACAAUAUGGCGCUGGGAGAGAAGAAAACAGCUUCUACACAGCUGCCUCCAGUUCAGCCAAUAAACUGUAGGACUUGCUCCUGAUUGGAGGAGAGCAGCGUACUCGGCGUGUGGGCAGCCGAGUUGGGAUUGGCAGAGGAGGACUAUAAAGGAGGAGAGAGACGGCAUGCACCAGGAACAUCUAAGGGGAACAUCUAAGGGGAACACCUGUGCAGCCCCCGAGAGAGCCGGCCGGCGGUGUGCCGCUCCCCUGCGGAAGUGGGGAAUGUGGCCAGGGGGAACUGCCCUUCCACGGAGGUGGAAGGGAUAGUAGCCAACCCGGGAAGAACCAGCAGCAAACCCGGGGAGGGCCGAGCAGACAAAAGAACAGCGCAGGGUCCUGUGUCGUUCCUCCACGAAGACAGGGAGCGACAUAAUGGUGCCGUGACUCGGAUAUGAAGCCUAGGCAGGGUUUAGUGUCGUUCCUCCAUGAAGAGGGGGAGCGACAAAAUAAGUCCAAAAUUUUUUUUCUUUUUUAGCUAUAAUGCUGUAUUGUAUGUUGAGAAGUUCUGGUGCUAAUUGUACAAGACAAACAGCCUGGUUCUAUCAGUCACUGAAAAUGCCUAGACAAAGAGGAAAGGGAGUAAGUUGCUGGUGUUAGAGGUAGGGAAGGAGUGGAUUGGUCAAGACUUUGAGUUGCAAGUUACAAGCAGUCUUCAUAAAGUUCAAGGAAAAUGUAUAUUGUAAAAAAACUAUACAUGGAUUUCAAAAAUCUUUGCAACAAAAUAAAGUUAGCUUUCAAUCCCACUUUCAUAUUAAUUAAUUUUUUUUUAUUUCAGAAAGAGAGAGUGAGAGUGAGUACUCCUAUCUUCUGGUUCACUCCUCAGUUGCCUGUAAUAGCUGGAGCUGUGCUAGGCUGAAGCCAGGAGCCAAGGACUCCAUCCAGGCCUCCAUUUAAGUGGCAGGACCCAACUACUGGAACCCUAACCACUGUCGCCCAGAUUUGGAGAGUCAGAGAAGGAGACGAGUCUGGGGUGGUCCAAGGCUAGGGGUCUGGGCAGCUGAGAGGGUCAGAGUGCGACACUGAGAAGGAGCACAUUUUGGGUGGAAGUCAGGAGCUUAGCUGUUGCCAUGUUACCUUGAGGCAUUUCUUAAUGUGUAAGUAGAAGGAGAUGUUAAGGGAAAAAAUGGACAUACAAUUCACGAUUAGGGGAUAUUUCCAUGCUGGAAAUUGACAUUUGAAAGUCUACAGCAGACAGGUUAUAUUUAAGUUCAUGAGCCUGAAUGAGCACCUAUGGAGUGGCCAUAGAUGGAGCCAAGGAAGGAUGAAGAACUGAGCCCUGGGAUGCAGGAACAGUAGAGAAAGAGGGAUGAGGAGCCAGAAAACAAGGUUCAGAAAGAACAGCCAGCAGUGUCAGAGGAAAGCCAGCGGGACUGGGGAGCUCUGGAAACAGGGGACAUAGAGUAUGUCCAGGAAGAGGGAGCAGAUAACUGGUCCGAAUACUGUUUAUAGGUUCAGUAAGGUAAGACCUAGGAUUGACCUAGGGAUUAGCAGUGUUGUAAGCAAGCUUGGUUGGGCCUGUUAUGGGGAUACUAUAUGGACAGAUGUUUGGAGGGCAUUUAAGACAUAAUGGAAAGAGAGGAACUGGACUCAAUGAGUUGAGAAGGAUUUGUUUUUAAAGACUUUCUGUGAAGGAGAACAGAGAGGUUAGGUUGUGGUAUAGAAGGGAAGUGGAUAUCAAGAGGUGUUUUAAAACAAGUGCUUUAACUAUUUUCUGUCAGUUUUCUUUAUUUUUUUAAACGAUUUCUUAGCAUUUUUAUUUCAGGGUAAUAGUAGUGAGAAACAAUACAGAGAGAUCCCUUGUUCCUUUUACUGAGUUUUCCUAAAUGGUAGCAUCUUGCACGCAUGGGACAAUAUUACAGCCAGGGUUUUGACAUCAGAAGUGUCAAGAUACAGAACACUUUCAUCACCACAGGGGUCCCUCGUGCCGUAUGGACACUCCCCCAUAACCCCUGGCAACUACUAACCUCUCACCCACUUCUGUAAUUCUGUCACUUCAAGAAUAUUGUGUACAUGGAAUUACAGAGUCUACAGCCGUGUGGAAUGGUUUUCUCUUCACUGAGCAUGCUUGCUAGGAUUCAACCAGAUUGCUGCAUGAAUCCAUAAUUCAUUUCUUUUAUUGCUGAGUAGUAUCCCAUGGCAUUGACACACCACAUUCUGUUUAACCGUUCCUCUGCUGAAGAGUAAUAUCUAGAUCGUUUUCAGUUCUUGGCUAUCACGCAUGAAGCUUCUAUAAACAUUUGUGAAUAGAUUUUUUUAAAAAAAUUAUUUUUACUUUACUUGAAAAGUAGACACACACACACACACACAAAGAGAGAAAAAGAGAGAGGGAAGAUCAGAAAGAAGACAAGAGAGUUCUUCCAUCCGUUGCUUUAGUGCCCAAAUGCCUGUAACAGCCAUAGCUUUGCUCAUAUCUGUUUCCUCUGGGGAUUCUCUGUGUAUUGCAAUCAAUUUCUCCCAGCUUCCUAACACCUCCCCCAUUAUAAAAUGAGCCCCCUGAGGACAAGAUCUAGGUCUGUUUUGUUUUUAUAGCCUCAGCGCUUGGGACUACGCCUGACACAGCAGAAGUGCUUCGGAACUGCCUUUCAUUGGGUGCCCUCUGAAACUGUUGCUCACCUCUGUAAAGCAGUGAAGCAGGUACCAUGGACAGAGCACGGACGGACAAAGAUGUGGAAUUCAUGUUGGAGCACAGGCUUGAGCUAGGGAUGGGCUGUUUUCCUGACUCUGGCAAGAGAAUAUGCACAGGAUCAAGCAUGUCCAUUCAUUUUUCUUCUAGAUUUCCAGAGAGAGAAUGAGCCCCAUGCAGUGUGGGAAUUGUGCUCCUGGUCUACUUUCCCCUGAUCUACACUGCUUGGAUCUUCAGGUGUCACUGUGUGGACGGCCCUGAGUCGUGACUCUUCCUAGACGCUGUAAACCUGCCUCCUCUCUCCUGUUGUGGAGUUGGCACAGCCUUUGGCUGGUCUCCAGACAGCUCCCCUCCCCCCCGCCUCCCCACUCUCCAAGACCAUUUGGAGCAGAGAAAGGGCAUACUAAGGCUGGAGGAGAGAACAACUUUCCUUUUUUUUUUUUUUUUUUGCAUUCUGUCCCUUGUAUCUAUAAACUUUGGACUCUCACUGCUUGGGUUGAUCUGCCUGUGCUCCUCAAUGAGAUCGUACGUGACUUAGAAUCUCCCUGUCAGUGUCAUUUUUAGACCUUAUAUUACGAAGUCCCAUCAUCUACAUCUGCCUCGAUUCACCUUAAAAUCCCCCUCUCUUCAUUUCCCUCAAUGUGGCUGCAUAGAAGAGCCCUUCCCCAGUGUGGAGUUCCUCCCAACCCUGGAGAGGCUGAAGACCUGUGCUUAGGACAGGACCCGCAGCAAUGGAGAGCUCCUCAAAGGCAGUCUCUCACUAGCUCUUCCUCUGGACUCACACUGCGUGGAGCCUGAAUGGAGGAUCAGGUAAGGCAAAUGCUUAUUCUACCCCAUCCUGCUGGUGAGAAACAGGCGGGACCUCAGGUGAGGCAGGAAGCUCUGGCUUAGGACUGGGAGAAGGGACAGAGCACUCGCUGCAGAGGGGGGUCCUGCAGGGAGGAAGGUGGAGGACGCCUGUGUUCCCAGAGUUUUCCUCUCUCCAGGAAGCCAUGUGAUCUUUGCCAGGUAAGGGAUGGGCAGGCAAGGACCACAGAGCUCUUGCUGGAGAAACUGAGCAAAAAUAAAUGGAAAACUCAAAACUCAGCAGGUACCAAGACUAACUGAGUGAUGCUGCAGGGCAGUGCUGCCUGCAUUGAGACUUCUGGGGUUGUAGUUUCUUGUAAAGGGCUUUGGGGGAGGGGAGUGGUUCUAUUUCCUGGCAAGGGUUACGGACCCACUGAGACCCUAGCCACAAGUGGGUGUCUCUGUCAGCUUCGAGGUGAGAACACACCCAUGGCAAGAAUUCUCUAGGAGCUGCUGCUCGCCCCUCCCAUCCUGCGAGGGUGUGGUGAGCUGGGUGGGGUGGCCCUUGUUUGUGGGUGCCACGACUCCUGGCUGGAAGAGCUUGAGCCACUACUCAAGCGAUGGUCACAGACUUACCUUCCCAGAUGAGGUUCUACCACGUAGGAUAAAGGCGUCAAUAAUGACUAAUAAGUUAGGCCAGAUUGACAUGGAAGAAUGAUCUCAAGAGAUGACUUCAGGGUUGUGGACUUGGAGCGUUAAAAGCAUCGUCCCAGAGAAAGAAUGAAGAACUGGCAGGAAGAGAGGAUUGGGGCCAGAGUGGACGUUGAUGGUGGCGGUGUUAGUGUGCCUGCUAUGAGGAAUGUGGCGGGCAGUAGGGAAGGUGGCACGGAAGUUGGGGAUGGUGAUGUGUUCACAGAUCCUGAGAGGAAAGAUGAGGAGCUGCUCAUGGAGCACCUGCAGCCAUCCUCAGAGACUACAGACACGAAUGAGAGACUGGGAUAAAUUGUUCCCUGUUAGUACAGAGGGACCACCUAUCAGCUGCUGUUUUACCUUUUUUUUUUUUUUAGCAAAAGUGAAGAAGGAGCUAACAGAGUUAGUAACUGACACAUCAUUUUAUCUUGAAAAUGUUUUGAAAACUUCAUGGAAGAUGGAACUAAAAGAAGUUUUGCACAAAAUGCAGAACAUUUUGUGAAGUCCAUGCAUAGUUGGUCCAUAUUGCACUUUUAAAAAAUAUUUAUGUUUUAUUUAUUUGAAAGGCAGAGUUACAGAGAGGCAGUGACAAAGAGAGAGAGAAAGGUCGUCCACCCACUGGUUCACUCCCCAAAUGGCCGCAAAAGAUUCGAGGCUGGAAAUAAUUCUUCCUCCUUCCCCUGCCCCACCCACCCUGUGCUCUGGCCAGAGGCUCCUCCAGUCACAGACUCUGCUGGUAAACAUCCCAGCAGACAGUCAGCGUCUAGGAAAUUGUCAUCUUUUUGUUGUUUGUCUCCUUUAUCCAGAACUUUCUGUGGCUCUCUUACUGCUCUCUGAGUUGGCAGGACAUAGUAGGGCAGAUCAAAUCCUGAAGUCAGUCCAACACGUUCCUUCUUUAGUAGCACAUCAGUGGCUUCUGCCGUGGAGAGGCAGUGGGAUGUGUUGGGGAGCCCAGGGAGACCCUGCCAAGCCACACUCAGGAGUGCAGGGCCCCCAGUCCUUGUACUUCACAUUACUCUGUCUCUCGGCCGUGAGUGUCCCAGCUCAGGGGUGUUGGGUUGAAUUGCAUUCCCUCCAAAAGAUAUGUUGAAGUCUUAAGCCCUGAUACUUUACUUGGAAAUAGGGAUUUUGCAGAAAUGAUUAAGUCGAAUGAAGUUACACUGGAUUAGGGUGGCCCUAUAUCUGAUGACUGAUGUCCUUACGCAGAGGCUGUGUGAAGACUCAGAGACACAGACACACAGGGAUAGCCCAUGUGACAAGAGGCAGAGGCCGGAGUGACACAUCAAUGAGCUAAGGGACGCCAAGGAUUGCCUACAACUGCCAGAUUCUGGGAUAAAAGCCUGGGACCCCUUCUUCCUCCCCCAGGGCCCCAGGAAGAUCCACCCCUGGUCUCUGACACCGUGGUUUCUGCCUUCGAGCCUCCGAGGCUGUGAGAGGACAAAUCACAUGGUGUGGUCACUGGGUAUGGCAGCUGUGAGAAGCUAAUACCAGAGGUCUCCAGCUAGUUCUGGAAGAGUCCGUUCCUGCAACAGUAGCUGUGGGAGCCCCACCCAGAUCUCUGCCUUUCCUUGAGCGGCCAGAUGGCUGCUGACUGCUGUCACCUCUGUCCUUCUCUUGCUCUAUGGAGGAUGCAGCUCCAGCUGUGCCUGGCUGCUAUGCCUCCUCCUCCCAUGUAGCCAGUGAGAGUCCAGUCCCUUUUCCUGGAGGCCAACAGACUGGGUGCUCUGUGUGGUGGAGAGCUCUCUGAGCCAUCAGCCCGAGCGUGGACAUCACUGACUCCGCAUCCUAGCUUAGCUUCCUCCCCUGUCCCCGCCCUCCCCGAGCCCUUGCGAGAUUCUCCUGCCAGCAUCCCCAGCCCCACGUCGCCUGCACUGAGCCCUGUCUCAGACUGCUCCCAGAAGGCCUGACUUCAGAUGCUUUCCAGGCCCUGCUCCUCCAUCACUGGGCUCCUGGCUGUUGCAGGUGCUGUGCUGUGGGAUGUCCACGUGGCAUGCAUUGAGAAUCCCCGGGACUCUGCUGGGCACAAACACUGAUGGGUGACUUGUUAGGGCAGGUGCUGAUGAAGUGAUGUCCUCAUGAGGGCUGGUGGAGGGAGCACCAUCAGUGUCAGGGUGUGGGUGAUAGUGGGACCUUCCUUGGUGGAGCCAUGGUGGCCUGCAGAAGGUUGACCCAGCACUCAGGGGCCCGUGGAUGCCCCAUUGACCUUGUGGCCCCUUGUCUUCUGAGGGGGCAACCUUCUUGGUCUCCUCUGAGGUCGUCAGAGUCUCUUCUCUCAACUCCCCCCACCCCCCGCUUCCCCUCUUAUAUAUUUAUUCACUCAUCCAACAAAUAUUUAUUGAGUAUCAGCUUUGCAUUAGGUCCUGUCCUAGGUACUGGGAAUAGAACAGUGGGCAAAAAGACCAAGUACCUGCUCACGUGAAGCUUGGGGCCCAGAGGCAGGGACAGCUGGACAAAUAGAUGCGUAGGAUCCUGUCCAGCCCUGGGAAAGCCCCUUCUCAUUGCUGUGAAAUCAUUUCCUUUUCCUGUUUUUCUCAAUGUGCAGCAAGUUCUCUUCUAGGGAUUUAGACUAUUGUGUAAUGACAGCAGUAGUAAUUAUUAUUACAACAGCCAGACUCUAUGUAGGCUGUUUCUUUUUAUCCUAAUCAUGCUACUCGAUCAUAUGGGCAAGAGAGAAAGUGGAAAAUAACAGGAAGAGAAAAGUAAAAGUUAGUAUCCCAGGAUAUUAUCUAGCAACCAAUGUCAUACCUAUUAAAUCAUUGUUAGGUGUCAUCUGACAGAUCUCUUGAACAAGGGGGAGAUGAGAGGCUAUUUCUGGAACAUUCCCAUCUUCAGGGCUUGGGGAAGUUUACAAGAAUACCUUGUAUAAUUGUUUUCCAGCCUCAUCACUUAGAAGGUGUGUGACUUUGAGCAAGCUCCUUAGCCUCUGUGGGGCCUCAGUUUGACAAAGCUUAAUUGUCUGAGUAAAGGCAUAGGGAUAUGCCUGGCGUGCCCUAAACAUCUGGGAUCAGUGGAAUCAGAGAUGCAGAUUUGGUUGGUAUGUGGAGGACUCCCAGGAACCUGUAUUUUUGAAGAACGUCUCAGAGUUCUGCACAUUUGGGUUCCGGGAUCCCUGCUGCAUGGCUGCUCCUGCACUCAGUAAGUUUUGCUGAGUCACGGUGGAUACUCAUGGCACAGGGUUCACUAUGACUUGUUCCCUGGCCUCAAGAGCACUUGGCCCAGUGGGGACAACAGACAUGUAAACAAAGAUGAUGUCACAGGAUGACCAGUGUUUGAUAGAUACGUGGGUGAGACGCAGUGGAAGUACAGGGAAGGUUGUGGGUUAAUGUAUUUUAGGGGCGGAGUAAUUAGAGUGGGCUUCCAGAUGAAGGGAGAGUUCGGGUGGGUUCUGAUGGAACAGGGUUGGCAGAGGUGUGAGUAGAUGAUUCCAGGUAGAAGGAAUGACACAGGCAAGUCGCAGAGGUGUUGGGUUCAGUUUCCAGGGCUGUCCUGACAAAGUACCCCAAAUACUGUGGUUAAGACAGCAGAAAUGUGUUCUGUCCAUCUUGUGGAGGCUGGAAGUCUGAAGCCAAGGUGUCGGCAUCGUUCGCUCCUCCUGAGCCUUUCCUCUUCCUCACUCCUGGGGGUCACUGGUGAUCUUGGGCAUUUCUUGGAGUGGGGCUGCAUGACUCCUAUCUCUGCCUUCUUUCUGUGUCUACGUCUUUUCAUAAGCAGACGAAUCAUUGGAUAUGGGAUCCACCCUAGUGGAACCUAGUGGAACCUUACAUAUUACUUUAAAGAUUUAUUUAUUUGAAAGGCAGAGUUUCAGAGAGGCAGAGGCAGAGAGAGAGGUCUUCCAUCUGCUGGUUCACUCCCCAAAUGAUUACAAUGGCUGGAGCUGCGCCAAUCCGAAGCCAGGAGCCAGGAGCUUCUUUUGGGUCUCCCACAUGAGUGCAGGGGCCCAAGCACUUGGACCACCUUCUGCUUUCCCAGGCCAUAGCAGAGAGCUGGAUUGGAAGUGGGGGAGCUGGUACUGGAACCAGUGACCAAAUGGGAUGCUGGCACUGCAGGCAGCGGCUUUACCCACUAUGCCACAACACCAGCUUCUAGUGUGACCUUAUAUUAACUUGCAUCUGCAAAGAUCUUACUUCCAAACAAGGUCACAUUCAUAAGGGCUAGGGGUUAGGAUUUGAGCAUGUCUUUUUGGGAGACAUAAUUCAAUCUAUUGCUUUGUGAGACAAUCUAUUGUGAGAUAACAAAUAUGCCAUUUGUUCUACUUCUGUCAUUCAGGUAGCCAGACUAACACAUAGAGUGCAUUAUAAACAUUGAGUGCUGGAAUAAUUUAGAAACAUGAAUAGUAAGGCUAAGGUAACUGGGAAAUUGUUUGGGAAUUAGGCCUGAACUGGCUCAUGCUGUUGGUUCAACCGGUUCAGCCUUUUGGGUGACACUCUUGGGCUAAACUGAUCACCCUACACUGGCCAGAGCAUAGAUUGGUUGCUCUUGGCCAGUAACCCACCCAUUGCUGGUUCAAUCAGCUGUGGCUGGGCAGGUCGGAUUCUCUGACACCUCUCUGAGAGCUUAAUCACGUCCCUUGGGUUCCUCGGAACAGAUAUCUCUAUGUCAAGUCUUAGAUGAUGGGCAGAGAUGGCUCAUAGGCAGAGAGAGCUGGAGUCUAGUGGCUAUUUUAGGAGAAUUGUAGGUAUGCCUUCUGGCUCUCAGCUCUCUCUCCAUACUGCCCAGCUGCUAGGAGCUUUGUGGAGUCAUGGGCUGGGCAGGUGCCACUGGUCCCAGGAGUGGUGGGGGGUAAAGCAUCCCUGGAUUUUCCUUGAGCUCUGGUGGGGCAGUGAGCCGCUCCCCAUUUACUUUGCCCAUAAAGUUCCUACUUUGUACUCAACAAAUAGAAAAAUGCAACAAUUCUUGCUUCCCUUGUCUUUUUUUUUUUUUAAAGAUUUUAUUUAUUUAUUUGAGAGGUAGAGUUACAGACAGUGAGAGGGAGAGACAGAGAGAAAGGUCUUCCUUCCAUUGGUUCACUCCCCAAAUGGCGCAACAGCCGGAGCUAUGCCAAUCCGAAGCCAGGAGCCAGGUGCUUCUUCCUGGUCUCCCAUGCGGCUGCAGGGGCCCAAAGACUUGGGCCAUCUUCUACUGUUUUCCCAGGCCUUAGCAGAGAGCUGGACUGGAAGAGGAGCAACUGGGACUAGAACCGGCGCCCAUAUGGGAUGCCAGCACUGCAGGUGAAAGAUUAACCUAGUGCGCCACGGCGCCGACUCCUCCCUUGUCUUUGAUUGGACAGAUCACAUAUGAGCGAAGCCAGGUGUGGCAGGGCCAGUUUUAUUUUCUUAUUUAACCAUUGAACAGGAAUAUCUGAAAAUGUGUUCUGUUUGGCCCUCAUAGUGUGUUGUCUUAAAUUUACAUUUCAUUUAUGAGCGAGCGCUCGUGUGAGAGACCAGGCGAGCUGCCCUGCACUGGUCCACUCUGCUGUGAUGCUGAGUUGGGCUGAGGCUGGCAGCCGGGAGCUCAAUUCAAGUGUCCUUUGCGGUGGCAGGAACCCAGUCACUUGAAUCAUCGUCUGCUGCCUCUCAGGGUCUGCAGCCGCAGGAAGCUGGAACCAGGAGCCAAAGCAGGAAGGGAACAACCAGAGUGGACACGAUGGUCUCUCUGCUGGAAGGGGGCCGGUGCAGGGGCCAGUCACGUGGAUACCGCGAGGGAAUGAACUUGGAAAGGUCACACACCUGAUUUUCUCAACCUGCAGUCAGACCCACAAACCUCGGUAUUAGCCUCUUGCAGGUGGGGGACUGUGGCUGGAGGGAGGAUCUGGGAGAGAACUCAAGAGAGAAAGGGAAAAAGGAAGGAGAAGGAAAAAGAUAAAGACAGGAGGACUUGGGAAUCGAGAGUGGGGAGAAGAGAAGAUUCCUCAGAUCCUUUUUGUAGGAGAACGGAGAGCAUGGGCAGUGUGGCCACGAAUGUGCAGACUGUGGUGGGUCCCAGAGAACAAGGCUCAGCCCCUGCCCCCGGGGAUGCUACAGGAUCCUCCAUCACUUGUAACCUGGACCUAGAAUGAUGGGGUGUAAUGGUUUAAGGUGCUCAUGUACAGCUCCUCAACACACAGUAGCUAAGGAUUUCUGCAUUUGGAGUAAAUUCUAUCUUUGAUUAUACAAAGGAGCUGCAAAAGGGUUGUGCAAAAGUAGAAUUAAAAGGUAUGGAGUACUAAGUUCUGCAGAGAUAAGAAUGUUUAAGAUGCACUUUCCGUGAAUGUGAUCAUUUAUUAAGAGAACGUAAGCAAAGACUCACAUUCCAAAAUGAUCACACUCUGGCCACACAAGAAGAUGACGUGGUUGAAAUGUCGACUGCAGCCAGAGUUCCGUGAGAAUUCUGCCGCACGGGGCGGCCAGCCGGCUCUGAGCCCCCACGGAGAGCACGCAGCAUCGAGGUUCAGCUGGAAGCCUCCACCUCCGCUUGGCUCUCCUGGGCAGGAUGCUGGCAGAAUACAGACUUCCAGCGCAGCGGGCAGCGUUUGCCGCCCAAAUUCCGCAGGGUGAUGCCCUGUGCCCAGAGGGAUUGCUGCACACAGGAGAGGAGCACUGCGCUGGGGAGUGCGCCACGUCGUAGAACCAGCAAGCUAGCCCGCUCUUCAGCCCAGAGCGGGUGGCACCUCAUCCUUCUAGGCUGCUCGUGGCGAGCACAACCUGGAGACGUGGGCCAAGUGAACUGCAGUGGGCUUUGCGUUCUUGGCACACCCAGCAAGAUGAGAAGCACUUGGCAGUUGUCAGUCCCUGCACACCUCCGUGGGCCUUUGUGCAGGGGUCCUGGGCUCUACGCUGGGGACUCUGCUCCCAGGGCUCUGUUCACCCCUCCCCCAGGGCUCCCACUCUGGAUGCAGCCUCUUUUGCCAGGCCCAGUCCCCACCCAGUAACUUCUGCUUGUCCAUCCGUGUGAGCUGUGCCUUGUGUGCAAGUUCAUCAUCGCCCCAGCUUCCAAAGGGGUGAAUACUGGAGAGUUCCUGGGCUUUAUGUACAGUGCACAGAUGUCCAUACAAUACAGAAACAGAUGGACGGCGUCUCCCUACAGGCUUAAACUUUCAUGAUGGGUGAGUGGGAACACAACGUCUCCAAAUACCUCUUGUGGAGGAGAUAAUAAUGAAAAGAAGGUUGGGAAAGUCUCAUCUAAGGUGUUACACAGGCCACUGUGCUGCGUCUCGUGUUCAGAGUCUGGGGUUAGGGAGUCACAGGACAAGAGCGAUCUUUGCAGAAAAAAGAACUGGUGGUUGGCUGUGAGGGAUAAGAGGGGAGGAACUGCUGCAUGAACAGUGCUUCUCGGAGCCAGGCACCGUGCUGGGCCCGGUGUCUGCAGUGCCUCCUUGCGGUCAUAUUUUCAUUUUCAGAUGGUGAAAUGAGGAGGAAAAAGCCACAAGCCUUGCACUGCAUAGCUGGAAAAGGGUCAAAUUGGGAUUUUUUUUUUUAAGAUUUAUUUAUGUAUUUGAAAGGCAGAAUUACACACACACACAGAGAGAGAGAGGGUAGGAGAGACAGAGAAAGAGUUCAUCCAUCUGCUGAUUCACUCCCCAAAUGGCUGCAGCAGCCAGGGCUGGGCCAAGCCAAAGCCAGAGCCAGGAGCUGCUUCCCAUGUGUUGCAGGAUCCCGAGCAUUUGGGCCAUCUGCUGCUUUCUCAGGCCAUUAGCAGGGAGCUGAAUUGGAAGUGGGGCAGUCAGGACUCGAACCAGUGCCCAUAUGGGCUUCGAGCCUACUCACUCUAAAGCAGAAUAUCCGUAUUCCUGCAGGAACCACCUGCCAGACAGGCGUGUUCUGAGUGAAUCACGGUGACCUCCCUGCCUACGUCUGAUGCCUGUAUGUGGCUGUCGAAGACACGUAUCUGGCUGUUUACCGUCCCCUGGACAUAGCUGGUAGACCAAGAAGAAAUACUGCAGGAAACACGCACUGUUGCUGAAGUCACUCAAACUAUGGUGUUUGGUUCUGGCAGCCCAAACUGACUGGGACAGCAAGGAAAUCGCAGGUGGUACCACCCACCAAUGGGAACGAGCACGGGGCCAGUUCUGAUGCACGGGUGGCCACUCAAGCCAUGGUUUACGAAGCACCCUUGGUUACGGGCGUCCGGAGUCCUCGUUGUCAGCUCUCCCUUCAGGUGAGGAAACAGGUGUGAGGAGGAGUCACUCGGGCUGUUAGGCUGGCAGGGAGGGCCACCCAGGUCAGAAACUCACCAGCAUGCCACGUCUGGCUUUGGAAACCAGGGCUGCUUCUCCAGGGGCUGCUGAACCCAGAGCAGGUGCCUUUAGGGCACACAGAUCCACAGUGCAGGGCCACUGCCCAGAGGACUUUUUGCUCCUGGCCCUGAGAAAAACUGAGUGUGGAACAGCAGAAGCCCUGGGAGGAGUGGGCCAUGAACCAUUUCCCCGAGGGAACCCCUAGGGCUCCCUCUUAUGGUUAUUACAUGAACUGCUGCCCCAGACGCAGACCUCCAAGAGCAAGUGCCAGGGGCUGAGCACCCACCCUGAGUCAGGGACUCAUUAACCCUCCGCCCGUCAGCCUGCGAGCUGGGUGGACAUUCUGUCUGCGCUGGAGAUUAGAGAACAGGGAUGCAGUUGGAAUUGAAGCAGGAAGAGUGUUCGUCACUGGGCUUUGAGAUCUGGUCCAGGGAUGGAGCCCCUUGUCUUCCAGAGUCGUCUUCCCACUGUGAAGUGGUUUGUUUUUUUUUGUUUUUUUUUUUUAAGAUUUUUUUUAUUUAUUUGAAAGGCAGAGUUACGGGGCUGCGGGGAGGAUAGGGGGAAUGUUCCAUCUGCCAGUUUGCUCUCCAGACUGAUGCCAGGAGCCUGGAUCUCCAUCCAGGUCUCCCAUGUGGGUGCAGGGACCCAAGCACUUAGGCCAUCCUCUGCUGCUUUCCCAGGCACAUGGGCGGGGAUCUGGAUGGGAAGUGGAGCAGCUGGGACUUGCUGACGCUCAUAUGGGAUGCUGGUGUUGCAGAUAGCAGCUUAACCAAACUGCAACGCCGGCGCACUCACUGAGGUUUUUUUGUUUUGUUUUUUAGAUUUAUUUAUUUAUUUGAAAGGCAGAGUUACAGAGAGGCAGAGAGAAAGAAAGAGAGAGAGGUCUUCCAUCCACUGGUUCACUCCCGAAGUGGCAGCAAUGGCUGGAGCUGGGCUGAUCUGAAGCCAGGAGCUCUUUCCAGGUCUCCCACGCGGGUGCAGGGGCCCAAGGACUUGGGCCAUCUUUGACGGCUUUCCCAGGCCAUAGCAGAGAGCUGGAUCGGAAGUGGAGCAGCUGGGACUUGAACCGGCGCCCAUAUGGGGUGCCAGCACCACAGGCUGGGGCCCCUAACUAAAAGCUUAAUAACGUUUCACAGUCAGCUCUCCCGCUGCACUGGGGAAUUGUUUUUAAAUUAUCAAGGAUGCCCCAGUUUUACAGGUGUAUUCUCAUACAGCAUCUCUCUAAAGCCUCACGCAACCUCGUAUGCCGGCUGUAGUAGGCCUGUCUCCACUUUAAAACCAAGAAAACAGAGGCCCGGGGACAGUAACAGGUCAGACAGAGUAGCGGCCACUGAUGGUAAAUGCCUGCCAUGUGCCGGGCGUCAGUGCUCGCUCUUUGUUACCUUGUUCAAUUCUCCAGCAACACUAGCAGUGCCCCAUUUUGCAGGUGAGGACCCCGAGGGAAAAGCUCCGGGCCUGGCGUGGCCGUCUGGCUCUCACUCAGCACAUGACCCUGAGGCGUGGCGUCUGUCUACCAGUGCUUCACCAUCUGCAGGCAAUGAUCCAGGUGGAAACAGAAAAAGUAGGCCGGUUAGAGCCAAUUCUGAAGACAGGAAAAAAGCAAAGUUGGAAAGAUUACUUGAGGCCCCUGGGGAGGGUGUGCACCCACUGUGUGUGAGAGCGAACUCGGGGUGAGGCCAAGCUCCGGGCCAGCCCGGGACCGAGCCUGGCUGGAAUCCCGCACAGAGUUGCAGUAAGUUCCAGCUGCUUCCCUGUGUGUGUUCCCUGUGCCAGUAGAUGGCUCUCUCCUGGGAGUAACAGCUGGAAUAUUACAGUGUCUGGAGUUGCACUGGCCGAGAUGGUAGUCGUCUGCUUCGUGCAUGUGGCUGAUGAGCCAUGGAAAUACAGGGAAGCGCGGUAGAAGUGUAAAACACGUGAUGGAAGUGUAAAACACGCACCAGGUUUUUAAAGGCACAGUACGCAAAACACUGUAAAAUACCUCAUUAACCAUUGGAUGUUAAUUACAUGUGGAGAUCAUAGUAUUUUGGAUGUGUUAGGUUUUAAUUAAAAAUUAUUUUUCAGUAUUUAAUUAUACAUAUCUCUGUUUGCAAAAUCCGUAUCUUGGGCAGCUCUGAGCUCGAGCACGGGGUCCCAGUGGAUUUGCUUGUGGCAUAUACAGACGGUCCUUGACUAGGGGCGGUUUAAUGUCCGAGGUUUUCACCCCACAGCGGCUUUAUCAGGAAGGCAGGCAGCAUCUGUCCUGGAAGCAAGGCGCUCCUUGGAGACGACUCGCAAGACAGGCCGGCUUGUCCCACUAUGCGGCGGAGCCUGGAGGUGGUCAGAUGUGUGGUUGGGGACAAAUGACAAUUAAGGUCUGCCCCCCGCCCCCGCCCCAGAUGGGAGAACUGAAAAGUUCCUGUGGCUGAUGACAGGGAAGCAGAGGAGUAGUGUGCUUUAUUUAUUUAUUGAAAAUGAUUUGUUCGAGAGGCAGAGAGACAGAGACAAAUGCACAAAUGCAUGCACUGGCUGGCUUGGACCGGGCUGAAGCCAGGGCCCCCUGCCGCUUCUCUUCCCCUUCCCUUGGCUAGCUCUCCGGGUGGUUAAGCUGUCCUUUACAUAGAUCGCCCAUGACCCUCUAAAUAGGAGUCAGUCCCCUGCCCCAUCAAACCUCUCAGUCCAGUGUUUCUUCCCUGUGGGACUGACGACGUGUGCUAACACCUUCCUGUGCAUCGGUGUGUGUUUAAUGUCCAUCUUCCCCACCAAGAUGAUGCCACCAUGGGACAGGGGUCACAUCUGUCUCCUCAUGGCUGUGUCCCAGGGGCCAGCAGUAAGCCCUCUGCAGGGUUUGUUGGUGAUUUCUUGUAGUUCGGGGACAAGUCCUACCUGCCUGCACCUGUUCUGGGCUGGGCACGUGGUAGGUCUCAUCCUCAGUGCAUCACAACCCUAGAGGGAGCCACACUGCCACACCUUGGUUGCAGGGCAGGUCACCAGCUUGGGAGAAGAAGCUACUGGCCCAGAGUCCCCCUGGGGGCGAAUGCCCACGCAGGAUCUCUGUGCUGUGCCUCAGUUUUCCGCUCUGCACAGUGAGACUGUGUCCUCCUCUAGAAUGUCUGCAGCCUUAUGCCAUGGGUGUGCUUGCCAAAUUCCCAUUUCGGUAGAUUUAAAAAGUCACUUGUAGAUAAACCAUGGGGAAUACUGAGCUGGAUGCGUGGGUCUGGUGCACAUCCUUGAAUUCUAGAGAUUCCAUUCCGAUGUCUCUGGCAGACACAUCAAUGCCAUAUUCUGGGAGGAAUGGGAGACCAUGGCUCAGACCAUGGUACAGAACACUGAACAUGUUGAAUAAUUAUUUUUAAUUAAUUGAUUUGAAAGGCAGAGAGAGAUGGACCAACAAGAAGUUCCUGUUCGUUGGUUCAUCCCUCAAAAGUGGGCAACAGCUGGGGCUUGGGCCAGGAACCCAGUCUGGGUCUUCCAUGUGGGUGGCAGAGACUCAAGCACUUGAACCAUCACCUGCCGCCUCCCAGGGUGCGCGUUGGAACUGGGAGUGGAACUGGGACUUGGAACCAGGCUCUCCCAUGUGUGUGAGGCAGGCAUCCCGAGCAGUGUCUGAUUAACUGUUAGGACAAUGCCUCUGACUAUUUUCUUUUUUAAAGAUUUUUUAAUUUAUUUAUUUGAAAGUCAGAGUUACACAGAGAGAGGAGAGGCAGAGAGAGAGAGAGAGAGAGAGGUCUUUCAUCUGCUGGUUCACUCCCCAAUUGGCCACAAUGGCCAGAGCUGCGCAGAUCCGAAGCUAGGAGCCAGGAGCUUUUUAAGGGUCUCCCACGUGGGUGCAGGGACCCACAGACUUGGGCCAUGUUUACUGCUUUCCCAGGCCAUAGCAGAGAGCUGGAUUGGAAGAGGAGCAGCCAGGACUAGAACGGCACCCAUAUGGGAUGCUGGUGGUUCAGGCCAGGGCGUUAACGCGCUGCGUCACAGCGCUAGCCUCGACCUCUGACUAUUUUCAACAUCUUAUAAAAUGAAUGGUUGUUCUGGAGGGCAGGGAAUGGAUUUCUCAGCCUGGAAUGCAAACCAGGAGAGGAACGGAGGCCUGGAAGCUCCCAUUGGCCCUGUGCCCUCUGUGAACCUAGGGCAGGGAGUCUGGUCUUCAUAGGGGGUGCAGCUGCAAGAUAGAAGUUGGGUGGGUUGAGAGUUCUGUCCGAGAUCCAUACAGAGCAGUCCACCUAAAGGGCAGGCUUUCAGUGGGUGAGCUGAGAACCACACCCGCACAGAGGGGAGUUGUGUGACACCUGCAUUGGCCUUGACCUCAGGGAGAAGACACACAAAAAAAUUUCCCCAACUCCAAACCUGGAUCCAUGAGUGUUAACAGGAGUUGGGAUUUACACAAUCUGUGUAGCCCCAGUCCAAACACUCGGGCAAACAAGUGAAGCAGAAUUGGCCCCAAGUUGGUGGUGCCCCAGGACACAGGUUGGAGGAGAGGUGAGCUCCGUGAGAGCAGGGCACUUGAAAGGUAGCCCCCCUGGGGCCGGCCUUGUAGCGUAGCGGGUAAAGCCACCGCUUGCAGUGCUGGCAUCCCAUAUGGGUGCCGGUUCGAGUCCUGGCUUCUCCACCUCCCAUCCAGCUCUCUGUUAUGGCCUGAGAAAGCAGUAGAAGAUGACUCAAAUACUUGGGCCCCUGCACCCGUGUAGGAGAACUGGAAGAAGCUCCUGGUUCUUGGCUUCAAACUGGCCCAGUUUUGGCCAUUGCAGCCAUGUGGAGAGUGAACCAGCGGAUGGAAAACUCUCCCCCUCUGCCUCUCUGUAACUCUGCCUUUCAAACAAACAAACAAACAAAAAAAGCAUACUGUUUAGAAAUUUUGAUGGUGGGGCCAGUGCCGUGGCUCACUUGGUUAAUCCUGUGCCUGUGGCACCGGCAUCGCAUAUGGGCGCUGGGUUCUAAUCCUAGUUGCUCCUCUUCCAGUCCAGCUCUCUGCUGUGGCCCAGGACGGCAGUGGAGGAUAGCCCAAGUGCUUGGGCCCCUGAACCCGCGUGGGAGACCAGGAGGAAGUACCUGGCUCCUGGCCUCGGAUCGGCGUAGCUCCGGCCGUUGUGGCCAUUUUGGGGGUGAACCAACAGAAGGAAGACCUUUCUCUCUGUUUCUCUCUCUCUCUCUCAUUGUCUAACUCUAUCUGUCAAAUAAAUAAAUUAAAAAAAAAAAAAGAAAAAAUUUUGAUGGUACAUUCCAGAGGGGAAACACCGGCUAAGUAUUAUCAGUGAUAUUUUCUGGAGUAUAGGAAUAGUGUAGCAGUUGAUGACAUGGGACAGCUAUUAAAAAAAAAAAAUUAGCACUGUUUCAUUUUAUGCAUACAUUACUUAGAAAAAAUAUAAAUAAAUAAUAAAAAUUAAAAUUAAUUGAAAUAAAAAUUAAUAAAAUGUAGAAAUCCCCAGCACACUACUCCUGCCCACAUCCCCGCCCAGACAAAGCAUAAGAACUAACCUUUGCGAGUUGCAUAGGUCAGAGAGCCGUUUUUGUCUCUGUUCUGAUGUUUAUCUGAAUUAAACCCGUUUGGUGCUCUCCCUGAACUCUGACUCAUUCUUGGGGAGGUGCUAGUAUUUGUGACCCCAGAGGCUUCUGGAUCCUUCCUGCUCAUGUGGAGGACUUUGUGGUCCUCUUCUCCCUCCGGAGUCCUCCGCCUCUGGCAGUUCCCAUGGCCAGAGAUGGAGCACUCACUCCAUAGCGGAGAGCGGGCGUAGUGUUCUGGUUCACAGCGCUGGGGUUUGACAGCUGUGAGAGGCUUGGUUGGGGUGAGGGCUCUGGUCGGCAGCAGGUCCUCCAGGGCUCCUGGAAACGGAACUUUCCCAUUGAGUUUACCGCAGGGGAAGCUGGGUUUGAGCUGAUCGCACCAUUUAUUUACAGAUUUUCUUGACCACAGGCACGUAACUGCUUUACUAAAGCUUCUGCGUUCUCAUUAACAGAAUGUUAAUAUCUGUCAGAUAAAGGACGCAGAACAGGAAGGAGACAGAAUACAAACUCGCAGCCAGGCAGAAUUAAAGCAUCAAAGAAAGUAAACUACAGAGGUCGACCAACUGCCUGCGUGCACACAGACCGAACCCGUGGCAGAGGCCCAGAGCCCAGGGGCUGGGCUUCUCUGUAUCUUAGGUGGGCUAGCGGUGGGGCGCAGUAGGCAGAGGUAAGCUUCUUGGACAGGUUCUUCAAGUUUGGCUGCUGGCUUCCAAACCUGGAGAAGAAUGCAGGGUGUGGGGUGGAGAAUGAUGGGGUCUAAGACUGAGUUGAGAUUUCAGUGCAAGGGCUAUAUUCUGAUUUUAUCUGUCUUUUGGGCCAUGAGCUAGAAUGGCUGAGGCUUACGUCCUUGUUCCAUCAAUAUCUUCUUAAAAUUUUAAUGAAGAUUACAUGGGACAGUGUGUGUUAUGACGAAUGUAGUGUACCUAUCUGGAAUGGCCAGUAUAUUAGCUAUGAGCAAUGUCAUUUUUUUAAAAAGACUUUUUUUAUUCAUAUGAGAGACAGAGAUACAGACAAAAAAAGGGAGAGACAGAGAGAUCUUCCAUCCACUGGUUCACUCCCCAAAUGGCCGCAACGGCUGGAGCUUGGCUGAUCUGAAGCCAGGAACUUCUCCCAGGACUCCCAGGGGCACAAGCAUCUGGGCCAUCCUCCACUGCCUUCCCAGGCCAUAAGCAGAGAUAUAGGUUGGAAGAGGAGUGGCUGGGACAUGAACGGGCGCCCACUGGGAUACUGCCAAAGGCAGAGGCUUAGCUCAGUAUGCCACAGUGCGGGCCCCUCAGCGGUAUCAUUUUUAAGAAUGGUGUUGAUCAUAUGUAGAUUACCUCUCUCUCUCUCUAUAUAUAUAUAUCUAUCUAUAUCUAUCUAUCUAUCUAUCUAUCUAUAUCUAUCUAUCUAUCUAUCUAUCUAUCUAUCUAUCUAUCUAUCCACAGGUAGCAUAUGUGGCAUGGAAGAUAAUGUAGUAUAAUAGUUAACUAGUGGGCUGGGAGUUCAGCUGGGGGCUCGGUUACUGACCUUCUAUUGAUUCAGAGUGAGCGAACCUGGGUAAGGCGCUCGAGGCAUUGCUUGCAUCUUGCAUCAGCUGUGUUUAGGAUGGCCUGCUCAAAGCUCACCUGCUCAGAUUUUUAAAAAUUUGAUUAAUAGAAUUUGAAAGGUAGCUGGCAUCUUAGAGCCAUAUGAAUAACAUGUACUGGGUAGUAAUGUCCAUUAUACUCAUAUAUAAAGAGUUCUUACAUAUCAAUAAGAAAAAGGUAGCUAAGUAGAAAACUGGGCAAGGGGGUAAGUAAGAAGAAAUAAAACAAAAUGAUAUCUAUUUGAAAAUGCUUCCACACUGGCAUAUUCAAAUCAAUAGAAAUAAAAAGUGAUAUAACAGGUUGUUUCUGGUAUAGAGCAAACAGACUUAUAUUGGUGUAUUUGUUAUUUUUAUUUUAACUAACCAUAGAUUCACAUGGAGUUAAAUGAGGGAUCUUCAGAAAUUCCAUGGAAAAUGUGUAUUAUAAAAAACUAUGCGUAUUUCAAAAAAAAAUUUUACACCAAAAUAAAUGUAUGUUUUAACUCCAUUUCCCAUGAACUUUUUGAAGUACCCUCCUAGCUAUAACAUCAUAGUCUUGUGCUAUCAGCAUUUUACCUGUUCAGUGAGGGGUAGGACCUUGGUCUCCCUUUCCCUGCUUAUUAUUGCCUUACACAGUUCUUCUGUGUACAGUUAGAACCACAUCCAAGGAUGUUGUAAUCUUGUUUCAGUGAGCAAACAUCUUAGGAAAUUCAAGAGGGGAGAAAAAUGUUUUUAUCCAUAUUUUUACAUUAUCUCUUUUUCUUUCUUCCUUCUUAAUGCCUCGAGUUUCUGUCUUUAUAUUUCCCUUUCUUUUUAGAGUAUUUGCUUUCGCCAUUCUUUUAGAGUAGGUCUGCUGUGACAAAUUCUCCUAAUUUUCCUUCAUUUAAAAAUGUCUUGAUUUCAGCACUUGAAAAACAUGCCACUUUUUUCUGGUCCCUAUGGUUUUAAUGAGAAAUCUGCUAUUCUUUUUCCAUUGGUAAGGUAUGAUGUCUCUCAUACUGCAUACAAGAUUUUUUCUUUCCUUUUUGUUUCAGAAGAGGCAGAGCUGGGGAUCAGUGCCGUGGCAUAGCGGGUAAAGCCGCCACCUGUGACGCAUGCAUCCCACAUGGGCGCUGGUUCGAAUCCUAGCUGCUCCACUUCCACUCCAGCUCCCUGCUAAUGCACCUAGGAAAGCAGCAGAAGAUGGCCCAGGUACUUGGGCCCCUGCCACCUAUGUAGGAGACCUGGAUGAAGUUCCUGGGUCCCGGCUUCAGCCUGGCCCCACUGUAGCCAUUUGGGGAGUGAACCAGUAAAUGGAACACCUCUCUCUCUCUCUCUAUCUAUCUAUCUAGAUAUGUAUGUAUAUCUUCAUAUAUAUAUAAAUACAUAUCUUCCUCUGUGUGUAAUUACUUUCAAAAGUAAAUCUUUAAAAAAAAAAUAAGAUGCAGCUGGGAAUUGAACUGGUACUCAUAUGGGAUGCUGGUGUUGUAGGUUGUGGCUUAACCUAUUUUGCCAUAAAGCCGGCCCCUGGGCUUUUUCUAAAAAUUGUUAAUAUUUUUUACCUAGUUGAAAGGAAGAGAGGGGGAGGAGAGGGAGAGGAGAGAGAUAUAGAGAGAGGGAUCAAUUUUCCAUUGGCUGGUUCACUCCCCAAAUGCCCACAACAGCCGAUGCUGGGCCAGGCUGAAGCCAGGAGCCUGAAAUUCAAUCCAGGUCUCCCAGGUGGGUGCCAUGAACCCAAGCACUUGAACCGUUGGCCACUGCCUCCCAGCAAGGACCUCAGCAGGGAGCUGGAAUGGAGAGUGGAGCCAGGACUCCAACCCAGGGUUCUGAUGUGGGAUGCAGACGUCCUAAGCAGCAUCUUAACUACGGUGCCACACCUACACUUUUUAAUGCCGAUAAAAGACUAUAGAAAAGGAGUGUCUACAGCCGAAUGUGACACAGAGUGGGAUGGGUCUGCCUGAGAAGUCAUGUAUGUAGGGAAGAAUGAGCUGGCGGAGCUCACGGUGCCAUUUGAGGGGACAGUGGUCAGGAAAGCAGUCAUUUUCUGCUAGAACCCUGCAGAGUGCACUCAGUCAGUAACUCUGUGGCCUGUGUUCCAGCUUUUCGCAAUGUGCUCAAGCAGCACUCUUUAGAUUCUGUACAAGUUUCUCACCUUGCUCAGAACUUGAAGAGAGGAGGGGUGUGAUUAUUUGGCACCCAAAGAUCCCCAGCAGCUACUGGGGUCUGCAUCCAAGAGAGGGGGAGGGGGCACCAAGGACCGGCACAUGCGUAGCAAGUCCAGUGUUGACAUUUGGUCAGAGCACAGAGGUGCUGCCAUCCUGGUUGUCUCUGGCCAGCAUCCAUUUGUUAAGUAGCUCGAACAUCAUCUCUGAGAAAAGGUGGACUCUGUAGGGUUGUAGAGAGUACUGUGAUGGGUAGCCAGGAGUUCUUCUCCACAAGGCAAUAGCCCAGGGCUCCAAGGAUGCUAUACGUAUGCAAUGACCUAGGUCCCCUGAAAACUGCAGGGUCUGGCUCUUCAGGUCUGGGGCACGCACAGGAUUCUGCUUAUCUAACAAGUCCCUAGGAGAUAAAAUACUUUGGGCCACAGACCUUAUGAUAGUAGCCAAGAUUCAGAAAAGAACAGGGGUUCUCAAUCUUAGCUGGGCACUAGAAUCAUGGUGGGGGGUGGUAUUUGCAGAAAACUCGGGGCAGUUGCAUUUUAUUGAUCUGCAGUGGGGAUAUUUUAAAAACUGCUCUGUGAUUCUACAAACUGAUAGGAUUGAUAAAUGCCGAUUCAGAAUGUCUAAGAAUCAUAAUUGUUACUUGUUUAUGAGAGAUAAAUGUGGUUGAAGGAUUAAUACCUAUGUGAACAAAGCAUUAUGGUCAAUCUAAUUAUCUAUGUACUGAAAAAAAAAAAAACAAACCGUGGACUAGUACCAUUUCCCAUUUGCACCUCUGUACCUCCUGCUAGUACGUGAGAUGCCUGCUGAUAAAAGCACCUUCCAUGCUAACCACUGUCCAGGUGCAGAUACCACUACCCUUGUACAGAGCUUAGAACUGGCCCCGCUUGAUGGAUUGUGGUUGCUUUGAGCUGUGUGCAGGAGGAAGGAAGGAAGGAUAUGUGUGUGUGUGUGUGUAUGCACCAGAGAUAAACACUCACCGCAUUGUGUUAGAUUACAGGGUUGGUGCUUGCCACACUUUUUACAGAAGGUCCACAGCAUUUUAGGAAUAUACGCCAUGUUUGCUGCUGCUCUGUUGGCACAGACAACUGAUGGUUAUUCCUUGAAAACGUGAACAUGACAUCAUGUACAUAUAAAGUUGUACAGUUUCCUCUAUAGAAAGUUCUUGCUCAUUUUUAUUAUGUUAAUACCUGGAUACUUCAUAUUUGUUGAUGCAAUUAUAAAAUAAAUCUUAUUUUUAAAAAUUACAUUUUAAAUGUUUGUUCUAUAGAAAUACAACCUAACCAAGUGAACAUUUGCAUAUCAUGACAUUUUCAUUCAGCAAUAUUUUCUGUAAGUUUUUUCUUGGAGUUGGGGGGAGAGAGAGAUCCAGCUAGAGCUCUGAUCCACUGGGUCACUUCCCAGAUGCCUGUAAUGGCCAGGGCCAGGGCCAGAGCUGGGAUCCAGGAGUCUAUCCCAGGCUCCCACGUGGGUGACAGGAAUCCAGUCACUUGAGUCCUCACUGCUGCUUCUCAGAAUCUGUGUUAACAGGAAGCUGGAGUCCGGAGUCAGAGCCCAGGACUGAACCCAGGAACACUGAUGGGGGACAUGGACAUCACUGGUGUUUUAACCACUAGACUGCAUGGCCACCACUCACUCAAUAACCCUAAUAAAUGUUCUUGCUACUUGAAUAUUUUGUCUAUAGGUUCUUCUGUAUCUUCUAUAGUAUGUGGGAUUCCUUCAUCCUGUUUUGCAUAGUUGUAGGUCAUUCAUUCUCAUUGCUGUCAUGUACAGUGUUGUGUGAGUAUCCCAGAAUCCAUUUAUUUAUCCUGCCAUUGAUGGACGUUUGGAUGGUUUCCAGGAGCCGAUGAUGAAUGGAGCUGCAAUGUCUUUUGUGAAAUGUACGUAUUUGUGUUGGAUAUGCACUUCAGAGCAGAACCGAUAAGCCGUAGGCUGUGCAGAUGUUCCUCUGCAGUAGAUAAUACGUGAUUUUCCAAAGUGGCUGCAUGAACUUACAGUCCAAGAACGGGAGAGUUUCACUCGUUCCACAUGCAUGCUGAAUUCUAUCAAAAUUUUCCUGCAUCAGUGAAGACGAUCUUGUAAUCGUCUGGUAUUUUCCCACUAACCUUCUAACAUGGUGAAUUAGAAUGAUAGAUUUUUCUAAUGAAGUUAAUCUUUCAUUCCUGAGAUAAAGCCAAACUGAUCAAGAUGCACAUUUUUGAAUGCUGAUUGGUUCAGUGUGUUCCAGUUUUGUUCAGGGCUUUUACCUCUGUCUGUUUCAAUGAGUUUGGCCUGUAUUUUCUUUUUUGGUAAUGACCCUGACCUCCUAAAGGUUAUGAAAGCUAAGAUUAACUCUUUGCACUCUCCAUCCCUAACACUCUUUGAUUCCCGGAAUAUCCCACUUUGGAAAACUGCAGAUUUGUCCUCUUCCCUGUAGAGAUGAGAGAUGCUUAGCCCAGGCACUCCCUAGGCAGAAGAACAUGGUGCGACUCCUCCAUCCAUCCUCACAGGGACCUUUGAGGAUGUGUGCAAGUGUACCAGCGUCCCCAAGUGAGCUGAGACCUCACACUGUCACAAGAAAGGGAUGAUAAAAGCAAGCUUGCAGGGGUGAAUGUGCAGAACCCUAGUUCGUGAGCCUGAGCCCUGCUCUGCAGUCUAAAACUCUCCCCAGUGCCUGCCCCCCCCCCCCACCCCUGCCCGGCGCUGAGUUUGCUGCUGGGAGCUCCUGUAGCUCCGCCCCCGCUAGCCCUGGUGCUGGUUGCAUGACAGUGAGCUCCUGGUCUACAGCUUCCAAACGCCCCCUCUUCCCUCCCUGCUUGCACUAACCACACCGCCCCGACACAGGAAACCGGUGAAAAGCAGAACUCACGUCUCCUCAGCCAGCAACGCAGACAUUCUUCAGUUUUGCAUCUUUAGGAGAACUUCUUCCAGAGCAGCGCCCCUGAGAGUUUAACAGGGAGUGGGGUAUGUGCAUGGUCUCAAAGUCUCUUUCCACAAAGGACCUACUAGUUGCAAACGGAAGAACAGUAACUCUAGCACUGGCAGGCAUCCUAACCAAGCAGACAAGGUUAACGUCGCAGGCACAGGGCCUAACCGAUCAUGUGUUCUCUGAGGCGAAAACACCACUUCUAUGGUGUUUCUCCAAAGUUCUGAACCUAUUCCCAAGGCAACAUCAGACCCUCACAGACUGAAGGGCGUUCUGUGAAAGAUCUGGCCUGAUCAAAGGCAAAUAAAGGCACUUAAUGAAAUGGAAGACGUGAGCUUGCGUCAGACCUUAGACCAAGAAACCAAAAAUGCUCUAUGGAACACUACUAAAGCAACUAGUGAGCUUGUAGAAUGGACUUACUAAGGUAAUACUAUUACUUCAGUGUUAAAUGUCUUGAUUGUGAUUACAGUACAGGUUAUGUAAGAGAAUACCCUUGUUUUGGGGAUAUUCCCACUGAAGCAUUUAGUUCAAAAAUGCAGGUGUGUAGAUGUCACAUACAGAGAAAAUGGUAGUGUCAAAAUGUUAACACUUGGUGAAGCCAGGAGAAGAAUGUAACAGGGCUCUUUCUAUGUUCCUGCAGUGUUUCUUUUCUGUUAUUCCAAAAUAACAAGUUUAAAAAGAACAGGUGUACUUCUAGCCCUUGGGAAACCACAGAGGUGGAAUAAUAAGGGCCAUGCUGGGGGCUUGGAAUAUGAAGGGCAGUUAGAGCAUAGUUGAUUUUAGAGUUCUCGGGAGGAAAUGUGUUAUCUCCUUAACAAACCCUUUAGUUGGAGACCACCAGCCCCUUGUUUCAGUCUCUGCCCUGUGCCUUCUGGGCAUGUCCACAUGCGUCCAUGCAUGGCAGAGAGACAGUUACAGCCUAGGCACAACCUUAGUCUCUUUUCUGAUCUUGAGGAUUUCUCUGGGUUUCCACCUAGUUUUCACAAUGAUGUUUUUACCUUUCAUUAUUUGUCAUUCCUCAAAAGACUGUCACCUCCUGGGAUUCCUGUGAAGAAAAGUGCCAUGGUUGCUAAGUUUCUUAAGGGUGGGGAAUCAUAAAACUUCAGCUUUUUUUUUUUAAUGUCUUCUAAUAGGGAAAGCAAUGCUGAAAAUGUGCUGUGCGCUUAAUAGGUGUUGGUAGCCUUAAGAGGGGCAGGCGAGGCGUUAGUCAAAGGUAAAUUCUGUGAAUAAAUGAAGCUUAAGAGAUCUAAUCAGUUUUUCUUGCACACAAAGUGGCAUAAAUUUCCUGAAAUACAACUGAAAAUACAAAUCCGCUGUUAACUGUGUGUUUCUCCAUCUUCAACCCUUCAAAGCAAUAGUGUGGUUAUACUUUUGAUGGUAGGCAGGCAACAAUCCUGACAACACUUAGAGAGGAAAUAAACAGUAGAAAUAAAAAGUAUUUAUUGCAAUUUUGGCAAUCUAUGCAUAAUCGUUUUUGUAUCUAUUAUAUAGAUAGUAAGACUUUUCUGAUACACUAGUUUUACGAUGAAAAACACCUAAAUUUUUACUAGACUCCAGCUUCUUGUUUAGCAUUUUUAUUUAUUUGUUUAUUUGAGAGAGGCAAAGGUAGACAGGGAGAUGAUACAUAAAGACAGACAGAGGGGUCUCCCAUCCACUUGUUCGCUUGCCAAGUGCCUGCAACAGCUGUGGCUGGGCCAGGCUGACGCCAAGAGAUGGGAGCUCCACCUGGGUCUCCCACGUGGGUAGCAGGGCCCCGUCUCCCAGGGUCUGCAUCAGCAGAUGCACGCUGCUUCCACGAAGCUGCAGCUGGCAGGGGAGCCAAGACGCGAGCACAGGCGCUGUCAUAGAAACGUGGGCGCCAUAACCGGCAGCUUCCUCGCUAGGCCAAAUGCCGGACCCAAACUCGGGCUUUUUUCUACCACCUUUUGUUAAGCAAAUGCUUUCUUUCUUAAAGAUUUACUGAGAGUGGCCGGCGCCUCAGCUCACUAGGCUAAUCCUCCACCUUGCGGCGCUGGCACACCGGGUUCUAGACCCGGUCGGGGCGGCGGAUUCUGUUCCGGUUGCCCCUCUUCCAGGCCAGCUCUCUGCUGUGGCCAGGGAGUGCAGUGGAGGAUGGCGCAAGUGCUUGGGCCCUGCACCCCAUGGAGACCAGGAGAAGCACCUGGCUCCUGCCAUCGGAUCAGCGCGGUGCACCGGCCACAGCGCGCUGGCCGCGGCGGCCAUUGGAGGGUGAAUCAAUGGCAAAGGAAGACCUUUCUCUCUGUCUCUUUCUCUCUCUCUCACUGUCCACUCUGCCUGUCAAAAAAAAAAAAAAAAAAAUUUACUGAGAGUGUCAAACCUCAGCUCCCCUCCCCAACCACCAACCACCUGCAUUCCCAUGACACAGCCCCACUCCAAACUGCUUUUCCAGACUGCCGGGUGUGCCUUCAUCCAGUCAAGGUGACACCUAAGGUUAACCAUCACAGUGCAGGAAGGGUCACCCACAGAUGUCAAGUCUCACCCCCUUGCAGGUGUGAUUAAGUCAAGAGUCUCUGGGUGGGGGAGUUGUCAGGGAUUAUCCCGGUGGAUCUAAACGCAAUCACAAAUGCCCUAGUGAAUUAAAGGCAGUGGGAGGUCUGGCGUGGGCACCAGGGAAGGGGAGUGCUGGAAUGCGCAGAUGCUAGAAUGAUGUGGCCACAACCCCAGGAUGGCAGAAGCAUCCGCCGAGAGCUGGAAGGCUUUUCCCCGAGAGCCUCCCAAGGGAGGGCCGUCCUGGUGGAUUACAGCUGUUUGGCUCUGAACCAUGAGAGGAUAAAUUUUUGUUGUUUGAAGUCAUUGAAUUUGUGGCCAUUUGUUCCAGUAGCCUUGGGAAACCAAUACACAGGGCAAGGGCAGAUGGGUGUUCAGUCCUGUAGGGACCCACACAGCCCUCUCAUCCGUCCUGGGAACCCCAGAAAGAGGGUCGCCCUCAGUCCUGGAUGCGUAGUUCUGUUCACUCACCCUUAACCCAACUCCCAUGUUCUCUAUUCAAUUAGUCAUUAAGAAGUUGCUGUGUGUCGAGUACGAAAGAACACCAGAUAAAUGCAUCUUAAGGAACUCAGAAGAGACUUCUUUGGAAGUGACUGUUUUGGCUUAGUUGGGGUACCUGGGUUCAAUUUCCUGCGCUGGCCCCUGACUCCAGCUUCCGGCUAACGCAGACUCUGGGAGGUAAAAGUGAUGGUUUAACUGCUUGGGUCCCUGCCACCCCUGUGGAAGACCUGGACUGAGUUCUUGACUCCUGGAUUUGGCUGUGGACUAGCCUUAGCCUUUCAGGCAUUUGGAGAAUGAAUCAGUGAAUGUUAGCUUGUGUGCUCUCUCUCUCUUUCUCUCUUUCUCUCUCUCUCUCUCUCUCUCUCUCACACACACACACACACACACACACAUACACACAAGACUCUUUGGGAUUUAAAUAGGUCCCAGAACCCCCUGCUUUGGCUAAUUUUGGUUCUAACCAAGUCAAGUUGCUUAGCAGAGUUCCCUCCCUAGUGCCCGACUCUGUUGAGUUCAGAAAAUGUGUGCAUGGAAGUCAGUCCACCAUCCCUGGCCUCCUGCCAUCCCACAGUCAAUUACCAUGCACCCCUGUGCUUUAGGUGCUGUCUUCUGGCCCAGCCUGGAUUUGGGGCUCAGGGGAAUUCUGCCUUAGUCCCCUGUGCCUUGCUUAGCUGGGCGGCAGCGGCGAACAUCGCAUCUCCACCUCCACCUCCACAGUCGAUGAGGCAGAUAACACAGUUUCCACUGUGAUGACAUGGAGCAACAGUACCUGAGAGCCCCAAGUUCACCGACAGCUCACCACUGAUACUUGUUUAUCACACACAUCACUCUCGUAAAGGAGCUAGGGGUUCCCCGUAAGAUUCAUCAGAACAUGAAUGAUGUAGUGGGGAGUUACCCAGCUAUGAAUUCAGCCACCAGCAGUUAUUUCUCUCUCUCUGUCUCUUUUUUCUUAAACAAAGCAUUUUAUUUGAAAGGCAGAGUUACAGAGAGAGAGAGAGAGAGAGACAGAGACAGAGACAGAGACAGAGACAGAGAGAUCUUCUACCUGUUGAUUUACUCCCAAAAUGGCUGCAACGGCUAGAGCUGGGUUGGGCAAAGCCAGAAACCAGAAGCUUCAUCUGGGUCUUGCAUGUGGCUGCAGGGGCCCAAGCACUUGGGCCAUCUUCUGUUGCUUCUCCAGGCCAUAGCAGAGAGUGAGAUCAAAAGUGGAGCAGCCAGGACUCAAACCGGCGCCCAUAUGGGAUGCUGGCACUGCAGGGGUGGCUUAACCUGCUGGCACCACAGUGCCAGCCCUGCCAGCAGGUAUUUCUAGGAGAUGAAAUUUUCAGGAAAAAGGAUUGGAUUCAGGGGCCACAAAUCAAGAACUGAGAGGAGCAGAAAGCCAUUCUGCAUUUAUAGCUAAGGUAUAACAGUUGAAUUUGUGGCAUCUGCUAUGUUUGUGUAAAUGCUCCCCGUGAUGUUUGCACCAUGACAAAGUCAUCUAGAGAUGCAUUUCUCAAGACGUAUCCCUGUCAUUAGGCAACACGUUGACUGUGUUUCAGAUAUACCUGUAUAUGUGUACACAUAUGCACAUACAUGUGUAUGUCACAUGAUAUGGAGAGAAAUCAGUGUGUACAUUAUAUAGCUUCCAAAUAAUGAUGAUUUUUUCUUUUUAUUAUUCAUUGUUAAAAAUUGAGGUGUCAUAUGAUAUUUUGAUGCAUAUGUAUGUGUAUAAUUUUCAAAUCAGGGUGAACACAUCCAUCUUCUCAAAUAUUUAUCAUUGAUUUGUGGCAAAACAUUCAGAAUCCUUCUCCUAGCCUUUUUUUUUUUUAAGAUUCAUUUAUUUAUUUGAAAGACAAAGUUGCAGAGAGGGAAAUGCAGAGGGAGAGAGAGAGAGAGACAGAGGUCUUUCAGCUGCGGGGUCACUCCCCAAAUGGGCUCCAAUGGCUGGAGCUGCACCCAUCCAAAGCCAAGAGCCAGGAGCUUCUUCUAGGUUUCCCACAUGGGUGCAGGGGCCCAAGGACCUGGGUCAUCUUCUACUGCUUUCCCAGGCCAUAGCAGACAGCUGGAUCAGAAGUGGAGCAGCUGGGACUCGAACCAGCGCCCAUAUGGGGUGCUGGCACUGCAGGCGGUGGCUUUACCUGCUAUACCACAGUGAUGGCCCUCUCUCCUAGCCUUUUUGAAAUACACAGCACAUUGUUGUUAUCUGUAGUCGUCCUGCUGUGCAACAGAACGCUCAAACUCAUUUCUCCUACCUAACUGUAACUUGGUACCCACUAACCAGCCUCUCCCUUUCUCUCCCUCCUCCCACUUUCUUUGACCUCUGGGGACCACUAUUCUAUUCUCAACUUCAUAAAAUAAAUGCUUUUGGAUUCUGUCUAUGAAGGAGAUCGUGUGAUACUUGUUUUUCUGUACCGGGCUCAUAAUGUCCUCCAGUUUCAUUCAUGUUGUUGCAAACAGUAGGAUUUUAUCCUUUUUAUGGCCAAAUAGUAUUCCGUUGAUGUACCACUUUAUGUUUUUAAAACUGCCUACCUCUUAACGUACAUUAAUGUCAUCAUUCACUAUUAACUAUGAAUAUCAUUGUUGUAGUUGUUUUGUUGUUCAGUCUUCACAAUGAAGAUGUAAAUAAUCCAAGCAGCCUGCUGACAGUAGAAUCGUGGGUUUCCUUGGCCCAGCGCUGUGUCCCAAGGCAAUGUCCUGUGCUUGCGUUCUUCCCGGCUCCCCAGCUGCUGGAGGCCUUCUCCCCACUGUCUACCUGAGGUGGAGGAAGGAUGGGGGAGGCGCCUCUUGCCAGGCGAAGGUGUGUGCAGAGGCGUCGGCAGCGGGUGCUGAGCUGGGGGCAGGGGCUGGGGAGCACUGCCAGGUCCUGGGUUCUGGCUUGACCUAAAGGCUCUACUUAAUUCCUUCUCUCUCCUCCAGGGCUCUGUCUGUCUCCACAGCGCACAGCUUCGGGCUGGGGAAGAGGUGCUGCAGGCAGCUCUUGCCUUUCUGCCUUCCUCAAUGCAUCUCUUCUUAUUUAUUUAUUUAUUUUUUGACAGGCAGAGUGGACAGUGAGAGAGAGAGACAGAGAGAAAGGUCUUCCUUUGCCAUUGGUUCACCCUCCAAUGACCGCCGUGGCAGGCGCGCUGCGGCUG
Oryctolagus cuniculus (rabbit) is the source of this 46237-nucleotide non-coding RNA. The record is from RefSeq and is a predicted model, not a curated record. Lineage: Eukaryota; Metazoa; Chordata; Mammalia; Lagomorpha; Leporidae.